Molecule: long non-coding RNA, 48099 nt
Filed under: Olea europaea subsp. europaea
Lineage: Eukaryota; Viridiplantae; Streptophyta; Magnoliopsida; Lamiales; Oleaceae
Source: RNAcentral
AUCUGUACUAAGCAUAAUUCAGGAAGCAUGGCUAAUAGCAAAGUUAGCAUCCUUACUCUCCUCCUAAUCUGCGGUAUGGUUACUGAUCUGUGCACUUUUUUGUAACUUAUAUUGGCUGAAUUUUGACACUUCUAUGAUGGCCAAGUAUUUUAUCAUUGUGAAACAAUAUUGCAAAAAUACUGUAAUAUAGGUCUUAUGAUAUUAGUUAAGCAGUCAUCUGCUGCCCAUUGGUAAAUAUUGUGUGUUUUGAUAAAGAGAAGCAUUGAAGAAGUUGCUUGUGCAUAUAAAGUAUUAAGAUUUUAGAUAAAUUUUUACAUGCAUGCAGUUGAAUUUAUUGAUCAUUUUCUUUCUGGGCAUUUUUUCCUUAAUUAUUAAGUUUUUCCACUGUUAAAUUAAUCUUUUCUUCAUAUGUUUGUGGAUUCUAAAGUGAUGUUGCAAUACUAUAAGUUACGCCAUUAAGUUGUAGCGUGACAUAUACAUGAUUUUAUCUUAACUACGUAUUGAAUUUUCUCGACAAGAUUGAGCUAAACAAUAGGUUUGAUUUCAAUAUUAUGUUUUUCUUUCUAUGAUAGCAUUGUUUUUCUUGGGAAGCAAAGUGCAAUAUGCUGAAGCCCAAAGGAAAAUUUUUACCCACAAGUUUGCCUCAAAGUUGGCUACAUGACUUGCCCAAAAUCUGGUCCUAAGAAGCUUCAUCCGGCUGCACAAACUGUUGCAAAGUAAAGAAGGGCUGCAAACUUUACAGAUCUAAUGGAAGCCUAAUUUGUACUGGAAAGCAAUUGGAUAUGAGAUAAAUCUUAAAUAAAUUGUCAUAUGCUUAUGCUAUAAACAGGCAAAAUAAUAAAUGAAUCUCUUAUAAUAAAUCCAAGAUUCAGGUUUAAUUGUAUUGAUGGACGUUGUUUCUAUGAAAUUAUCCUUUACAUAAUUACUUCUCUAAGUUUUUUGGGCGAGACUUAGUUGUUGUAUAAUCUUUUGUUCAUCUACUAGCUACCCUGGACCUCCUGCAUAAUCAAAAAAUUGUUGUAAAAACAGAAAAUGCACACAGCAUGAUGAGGGACAAUACAAAAAUUCAAUCGAAAUAAUAGAUAUAUGUACCCAUGGAUCUCUUGAGGAUAAAAUUUACCUCUGGCACAUAUGAAUAGAUCAUGACUAGGUGGGGCUUGCUGUUACACCAACUUUAUUCAUAGUCAAAGUCAAAAUUAUUCAUUCAAAGUCAUCAAUUCAUUUGAUCAAAGUCAAAAUCAAAUAAGGACUUGAUUUGAAAAAGAAAUUCUUAUGGGAACUAUUAUAAGCUAGUCGUAUUUGUUGGGACUAAUUGGUAAUUAUAGAAACAAUUAGGUAAGUUUUAAAUGAAACAUACGGGUUAAAUUGCAAACUAUGGCAAAGUGGAGGGCCUCACUAAUGAAUAUAUAAUUAUUUUCCCAUUUAACUUGAGGAGUAGAGAAGACAGAGGGAAAAAAGAAGAAUCGAGGAACGGGAAGAAAAAAAAAAGGAAAGAGAAGAAAAGAAGAAAAAAGGAAGGAAAGAAAAAGAGAAGAAGAAGAAAGAAUGUACUUUUCAUCAUAGGCAAAGAUACGCAAGAGAAACACAACAACAAGAGAUGGCUAAUGCAUAAAACAAUCCGAUUAUUCAAGUGAAUGAAGGUGCAGUGGUCUAUGAAGGAAAUAUGCCAAUUGGGGACUUCAUGACUCCACAAAUUAUUAAGAGCCAAUCUAACAUCGUUUAUCCUCUUUUUGGAUAGCCAAAUUUUAAGUUGAAGACCAAUGCUAUCUAGCUAUUUCAGAAUGGACAUCAAUUUUAUGGCAGAGCCAAUGAAAAUCCACAUAUACACGUAUCUCAAUUUUUGGAGAUGUUUCAACACUUUUAAUAUCAAGGGGUUUCAAAUGAUAUGAUCAGAUUGAGAUUAUUUCCACAUAUUCUACGGGAUAGAGCACUUGAACGGUUAGAUUCAUAGCCUAUUGCAUAUCAAUAUUCGGAAUGACUUAGCUUAAAAAUUAUGCAUCAAAUUCUUUCCACCAGCAAAGAUAUCAAAAUUGAAGCAUGACAUAUCCAUAUUUUGGUAGGGAGAAAUCGAAUCCUUCGAUGAAGAUUGGAACAGAUUCAAGAAUAUGCUUCAAAAAUGUCCUUAUCAUGGCAUUAGUAAAGGGCUUCAGGUCUAAUAUUUUUAUGCAGGUCUACUUUCAUCUUACAAAAGUAUGGUUGACUAAUCAUCCAAUGGCUUCUUAACCACGAAGACAAUUGAUGAAGCAUUGGAGUUGUUUGACAGAGUGGCUACUACUACAGCCACGUGGGUUUUUGAGUGGGUUGUUCAUAAGAAGGCAGGAAGAGUAAAUGAGGUGAACACCAAUAACUGGGUUAUCUGUAAAAAUUGAUUCUUUGGCUCAUAAGGUUAAGAGCAUAUCACAGUCAAUCAAUGUAGUACAAUUCAAGCGGCUAAGUUGUGAAGAAUGUGGGACAUAUCAUAUUAUAGUAGAUUGUCCAAUUCUUGCACAAAAUAUUGAACAUGUUGAAUAUGUACAAGGAGGUCAGCACCAACAAAAUAACCCACAUUCUGAUACAUAUAACUCAGGUUGGAGAAAGUACUCGAAUUUUUCUUGGGGUAAUCAAAAUCCUACUGCAUUGCACGAUUACCAGUAUUAGCAGCCUGAAAAGAGAGUUCUACUAGAAGAAAUGUUUGGAAAAUUUAUAGAAAGGACAGAGCACUAUACAAAGUUAAACAAUCAAUUUAUGAGAAGAACUGAGAUAACCCUUAAAAAUCAAAGUGCUGCAAUCAAGAACCUGAAAACUCAAAUGGGAUGGAUGACACUUGCCAUAUCAAGUAAAGUAGCAGGUACCCUACCGAGCAAUACUAAUACUAACUCCAAGGAGCAAGUAAUGGCUAUAAGUAUUUUAGAGGAUGUAAUAAUUGAGUAUCCCUCUGUGAAAGCAAUUACAACAAAAAAAUGGUGUGUAGUUGCCAAUUAUGAACAAAGUGAAUACAAGAGAUGAGGAGCAAGUGGAUGGUCUAAACAAUCAAUCGAGAAAAUUUUGAAAGAGAAUAGAGGCAAUCCACAAUUUAAAGCACCGAUCCGGUCAGAGAAUAUAGCUCCCAUCUUGUUUCCACAAAGGUUAAAGAAACACAAGCUAGAUAAAUAGUUUGAGGAGUUUUUUAAUGUACUAAAAAAACUCCACAUCAAUAUCCUGUUCAUAGAUGCGAUAAGGCAAAUUUCAAGCUACGCAAAAUUUUUGAAGGAUGUGAUAUCAAAGAAAAAAAAGCUUACGAAAUUUGAAACUGUGGAACUGAUAGAGGAGAGCAGUGCAAUAUUACAAAAUAAACUGCCUCCCAAACUCAAGGAUCUUGGGGUUUUACUUUACCCAUUUCAAUUGGAGAAGCUGGUUCUUUCAAUACUUUAUGUGAUACAGGCACAAGUAUUAAUUUAAUGCCUUUAUAUGUAUUCAAGAAAUUGGGAUAAUGGAAAGCAAAAGAUACAACAAUGUUAUUGUAGCUUGCUGAUAAAAGUAUUAAAUAUCCAAGAGGUAACAUUGAGGAUAUACUCAUCAAGGCUGACAAAUUUAUAUUUCCAGCAAACUUUAUUGUUCUAUACAUAGAAGAAGAUAGAGAUAUUCUAAUAAUCUUGGGACGUCCAUUCUUAACAACUGGUCGAACUUUGAUUGAUAUGGAGAAAUGUGAACUUAUAUUAAGAGUUUAUAGGGAACAAUAAUUUUUAAAAUACACAAUACAUCCAAACAACUAUCAAAUCUCGACUAACUUAAGUGUAUUGAUGAAGAUGAACUAUCCAUUGAACAAAAUUGUCAGAAUAGAAAACCAAAAUUUGGAGGACUUAUUGGUAGAGACAAUAACAGAGAAUUCAUAGUUUAGAGAGAUAAAAGGGGAUGCAAAGCUAGAAAUUGCAAGGAGUACAAGACAAAACAUUUCAAUUUAAAACACCUCAAGGAAAUCACCCCAAAAGUCGAGCUCUAAGUUAUAAAUCGAGCGUUUAAUGGGAAGCAACCUAUUUUUCUAUCACUUUUCACUUAUUUCGAUUAAUUGUUGCAUUACAUGUAGUUUUAGGGAUUGCAUUAAUUUAAUAACUCAAGCAUUUAAAUGAUUUGCUCUGAACACAUUUUAGGUAAUACUUUAAGACUAGCAUCAUUAAUUUAGGCAUGUUUAAGUUUAUUUUUACUUAAACUCAUCGUUAACAUCCUAGCAUUAUAUUAAGCUUACCUUGAUGUGAUAUGCAUUUUCAAGGUUUGCACUUAGACUUCAAUAUCCAACCUAUUUUGAAUGACUUAUCUUUUCCUAGCUAUAGGAUUUUUGUAGGGAUGACACUCUAUCCAAACAUUAUAUGACUAGAAAUUUUUUUGGUGUAAAUUCAUUACAAAUAUUUAAACCUUAUUUGCUAUCACUAAUAUUUAUUUUGAAUGCUUGAAAUAGAAAAUUAAAGCCUAGCAAUAAAGAAAAGUGGCAGUUGUCAUGACUUCUACUAGCUGAGCCAACUUGAUCAUUCUACCUAUCAGCAUCUACUCCGAUGAGUUUCUGAUCCUAACAUCUAUUAUUCUUGCUCCUGCAUUGGAAGUAUUGUAAUAUAAUGCUGUCUAGUUAGAGUUGAAUGACUUGACGCCAAAGAUUAUAUUUAUUUGUUUGAAUUAAGUACAUGUUUAGUUAGAUACUAGACAACACCAUAAUUGUACUUUUACUUGAAAAUUUAUCUAUGUUAGAUUUGAUUAUUUGAGCACAUAGCCAUAUUGAAUUAUUAGUUAUGUUGGGACAUGACUGAAUUAAGUGAAUUUAAUUGUUGAUGGUGUUGAUCUAGGUUUGAAUAAAAUUUUCCAAAUCCUUUAUAGAAACUAAAUGGUUGUAAAUCAGUUUUGGGGCAGGAAGGUUAGUGAUUGUUUUCAUAGAUGUGUGAUGGUUUGGAAUUCUUGGAUCCCAACAUUAGUUGAAGGAGUUUGAGAUAAAGAGUCUAAAAUGGGUAUUGAUCAUCCUUAAAAAAAAAUUCAAAUCUCAUACAUAUGUAACCUCUUUCGUAGCCUUUAUGACUCAAGUGAUUAAGCCUGCUAAGGUCUUUAAAACUUGGUGCCCUAUAAUCGUCUGGUUUGGGAGUCAUAGGUCUAAUGCUCGCUACAUGGGAUCAUUUAGAAAGUUUAAUAGAAAGAAGUUUUACACAUAAGAUAUUAAAAAAAAAGAAUGAAAAGUCAGAUUCUCAUAUUAAAAGAAAAGGUGACAAAUCUUCUACCCCUCAUCGUAAACUUUUUUAAUCGAGUUAUUAAGUCUGGAAGGGGAUUUAAAAUUUUGGUUUCCAUUGUCGUCUUAUUUGGGAGUCAUCGACCUAAAGCUCGCUACAUGCAUUAUUUGGAAAGCUUAAAGGAGAGAAGACUUGUACAGGAGAUGUAAAAAAAAAAAAAAAUGAUCUAAAUAAUCAAAAGUGAGAUGUGCUGGGUGAAGACUUUGAGAUUAACCUCUUGGGAUUAGUAGUGUGACUUUGAGAAACACUUACCAUCUUCUUCCUAGAUUUACAUAUAUGCAAACCUCUUGAGUGAAAAAUGCGUUAUAAUAAUUUUUAGAAACCCAUACGUGCUAGAAGUACCUAGGGCUUUGGGAGAAAAACAUAUGGAUUGAUCAUGCACGAGAGGCAUGAGGAAAAACUAACCACAAGAGGAUUGUGAUUGCGCAUAAAUCAACAUUACUUGAUUAGUUGUGUUCCAGUAUGGGUGUGAGUUCAAUGUUGGCUAGUCAUACACACACUAAGUCGAGCAUCAGAUAAGUAAAAAUCUAUUUUAAUAUUAUUUGGAUCUUUCUAAAGAAUUGCUUAAAUUUGAAUCUAAGGCUUAUGAUAAGCGAUUCAGCGUUGAGUCUUUUAUUUGUGAUUUGUUUGGGUAAGUUAUAUGUAUCAUAUCUAAGUUUUAUUUUAUUUUCUUCGAGGAUGAACAAAUGUUUUAUUUUGGGUUGUUUGAUAAGUAUAUUAUUGUGCACUUAUUUAGGACAUAUUACUAAACUUUUAUGUCAUCAAAUUGUUGAAUUUUAUUUAACUUGGGUUAAUUUUCUUUUAUUUUACUAAUGGACUCAUUUGAAUCAAUUGAAAAGAAAAUAAGCAUUGCUUGGUUGUUAAAUAGAAUUUUGUGGACUAAAUCUCAUUUGAAUAAAAGUUGGAGAAUCAAAAUCGAGGAGAAAAUGAAGGAAGGGUUAAGUUGCAUCACAUGGAAGAAUUGAGUCCUUAGAAGAUAAAUUGCAACUAAUUGGGCCUCAAAAUAAUGAAAAGUGAAAUCUAAUUGGGCCUAAAGUGGAAUUUUAAUUGUAAUUAAAUUGAAUAAUUAAUGGAACGUUGAAUAGAAAUUGCAACUAAUUGCACCUCAAAUUAAUGAAUAGUGAGAAUUUAAUUGGGCAUAAAGUGGAUUUUUAAUUUUAAUUAGUGGAAAUUACACCCACCCUACUUUUGGAGAUGUGAUUUCUCAAAUCAGGUGGGGUGUGUUUUCUUUCAUAAAUCAGAAAUAUAUUUAAUUUAAUUAAUAUAUAUAUGUUCCAACCAUAUCCUGUGAUUAUAGAGUUUUAUUUUGAGAAAACUCUUUAGCUUCCAUAUACUUUGUAACCGCACCCCACGUCCAUAAUAUUACUCCCACGACAUGACCGUAUGAAUCCCUCACCAUCUAUGCCAACGACCCGGCCCUCCGGUGAACUCCCGAAUGCAGCCAACACGCACAUUAUCCUCCCGCCUUGUAACCUCAUUGUACAUGUGUUAUUAUUACUUAGUUGGUGUGUGGGACGUGAGAUUAAUGGCCCGUUCGAAGACCGGAAAUCUGGUGAAGAAAGCCACAGAUUCUUCAGAUGGUAGGGCUAAAAGGAAGGUUGAGGAAUCACAUAAUGUAUUCCUAUCGAAAAGGCACAAAUCUUCCCAGUCGGGCUUGAUGGCUUUUGCAAAAAAGGUAUUUUUGGCUGUAUCAUGUUGAUUUAAUUUGAUUUACAUUCAUGAACCCCUAAAGUUUAUGGGUAUGGAGCAUUUGCUUUUGUGUUUUAAACAUGUAAAGCAUGCUAAGUUCGAUUUGUGAAUUUGUUGUACGGGGUGAUUCCAUUUAUGUCGUACAAGUUUCUCGUGAACACGUUGGCUGUCGUACUACUGCAGGUCAUGGGUCUUAUGCAUACUCAACUAUUAAAGUUGUUUUUUGAUCGACCGAAUGAUGAAGAAUUGCAUAUGCAAUGUCCCUAAUCCAUGUGUGCCCAAUUUUUUUUUUUUCAUUCAUCUGUGACCAAUAUACAAUUUGGAUAUCAAUGCGUAACUUUGUAUCCGUGUGACCUGUAAAUUGGUUACUACUGUACUCACUUAUGUGACCAACUAGUUUACUUCUUCAUGCUGCUAUCAUGCAUAUUCGGAGAUAUGUCUCAUAAAAUGGACCUUGUUGCCUUGUGUAUUAUGAUUUUAGUACUUUACACGUGUGACAUUUGUCACUGAUUUUUCUCGUCAGCAUGUAGGUUUGGAGCCUUAUUAUACCAAAGAAUCGUUGGUUCCCUGGAAAAAUCAUUGUUAUUCCUACCAAGCGGGUGCUGACCAAGUUCCAAUAAAAUCUUAACGAGGCACAACAGAACAUACUUCGUAACACAUGUUUCGGUCACUUUUUGGAUUGUCACGAAAUCGUUGUUCAAUCUCAGUUGAUUCAUUAUUUCCUGUUGAGGCAUGUUCGACAAUCAACGAGAAUGAAUUGUGGUUUGACAUCGUAGGGAGAUUUGUUAGAUUCUUUGUGACUAAAUUUUGUUUGGUUUCUGGACUCUGAUAUUCUGGCAACGACGAUACAAGUAGGUUCGAGAAGUCACCGUCAAUCUUGAAAGAAAAGUAUUUCAGUACCUUGAAGGCCGUCACACACGAAGAUGUCAAGGACGUGUUUCUUGCUGCAAGGGACAUUCCAGAUGAGGACGUUUCUAGACUUGCGGAAUUCUCUCCCAUCUCAUGAAGCAUAUUGGAGUCUAAAAAAAAGACUUAGGUGCUUAUUCGGAUGAAUCCAUGGAGUUGGAGGUGCUGCUAGACUUCUCACUUCUGCAGCAAAAAAAUGGGUACAUUUGUGACCACAAUUUUUCAUCUCAAAGAAGUAGAUAAUGGUAAUCUCGUACCUAAUUACCUCUUUCUUCUUUUUCACUCAUGACUACGGCAUUUAUGUGAUCAAGUAUGUUGAGUAUAUGUUGAUUUGAUGCUGGUAGAGCACAUCUAGAUAUAGCUUUGUUGCUAUACAAACAUUGUGAAAUCAGGAAGGAAGGGAACAAAGUGCAUCAGACUAGGGGUAAAAGCAUAGUUAUUGAGUGAUAGUUGUUUAUCCUUUCUACUAAUUAUUUUUGGAUAUGUAUUCAGAUCUAGUCAUUAAUUUUUGUUGGAUGGUAGAUAUAUUUCCGUGGAUAGUAGUUUGUAAUGAAUACAGUUUGCUUGCUUCUUGGUUGUGUUUAUGUAAUUUGCAGUGAUGAGAUUGAAAAUUUUGAAUCUAUAUUGAUUGAGCAUUGUAGUUCUGGUAUGUGCGUAAUGUUUAAAUUAGAUGUCACUGGUAUUCUUAAAUAGUCACAGGAGUGUCGACACUGUUACAACACAUUUGAAAUAUGAGUCUUACACCGUUAAAGGUUUUUGUUCAUGGUUGCCGUACAAGUCACAUAUGGAAAUAGUAGUUUCGUACGCUGCUAUACAUGUUUGCUUUUCAGGUCACAUAUUUCAAUAUAAACUUGUAUACACAAUAGGUAACCGUUGUGUUGUUGAAAGUUACAAUAUUAUAUCUACGAGAUAAAUAUAGGUCACAUUUAUUUACCAAUGGUCUCAAAACCUUUCAUUUCACAUGUCACAAUAUUCUUAUCGAUAGUCACAUGGUAAAUUCUUACAACAUUGUAGGUCUCAUAUGUCCGUUUAUUUGGUCACAACGUGUUUUCAUUGGGUCAUAUAUUGAGAGUGUUAUAACAUAUGUAACAGAGAUUUCUCAUAUGUCACAUUAAAUUAUCAUUUCCAUUUACGAGAUACCACUUAAUUCCUUUACCUCAUAGGUCACAAAUUCAUUGUAUGAAGUCACAGAUUCACUUGUGCCCGACAUUAUAGGUCACGGAUGUCUGUCUUCUUUGUCACAUCAUUUCUGUCAUAGAUAUAUAGCCUCACAAGACGUCACAAUAUGUGACAUUACACUAUCAUGUGAAACAUGAACGAGAAUUCACUAAUUUCGUUCACUGCACAGGUCACGGUUUCUAUUGUCCGAAGUCACAGGUUAAUGUGCGGGAGAUCAUUACAGGUCACAGAUUUUUUCUAUUAUUUUCUCACAGUAUUUUCGUCACUCGGCCAGGUCUGUUGUGUGUCUCUACACAUGUCACAGAUUAUUGACAUAUGUCCUAUUACCAUUUCACGUACAUUAACGAGAAGUCACUGAUUGGUCUGUGACUGUCACAUAACAAUUUCAGCGCUUGCAAGAAUGGUCAUAGAUGUUUGUAAAUUUGACAAUAGCUUGUCACAUACAAUUGUUCACUUGUCACAUGAUAUUGGUGCAUGUCAAAAUAAAACAUAAACUUCUUCAUCGGCCAUAUAGUAUUGACAACACCAAUACACGAAUAAUCAUUUAUUAUGAAUGUCAUAUAACAAAGAUCGAUGAUUCAAAAUAUUAAAAAAUCAGUCCAUAUUGAUCAAUUCGCAACACCAGUUGUCUUUCUUUUCCUUUGUUUCCUUUCUCUUGGCUUUGACUUAAUGGAACUAAGUUGUUGUAGGUGCGGCGGUUGUGACCACGUUCACCACAACGUUCACAUUUGAUAAUUAUGGUUUGUUCACAUGAUGAUCUAAAUCUCUUUUCUGUAGGCCUUCCACAAUUGCGCUUUUGAUUGGGUGCCAAAAUAACCAUUUCUCGAAAAUCUUCUGGCAUGGUCCAUUCAGUUGGAUUCUCAACAGGAAAGAUUACUUCUUGGUAAGUUUUCUUGUAUGAUUCUGCUGUGUAAUAGUAUAAAUAGUACUCAUUUGGAUCCAUCUUCAUACUAGCAAUCACAGCCAAUGAGUGUGGACACGGAAGUUGAUCAAUUCAAAGCAUUCGACAUGUGCAUGUAUGCUGUUCUAUAUCGAAAACGAAAGAUGAACUGUCACCACUAACGCAAAAUAUUGCCUAGGUGAUAGGACUGACCUACAAUUAAUUAAGAAAGUUAUAUCUGUAAAAUGUUAUAUUUAACAAAAAAUCACAGACAAUGUAAACCAUGCGAUACACUACGCAAUUUAAUAGUUAUACAAACGGAGAUUAGUUAUUGCAAAAGACAUUACCUUUAAGUUCCUAAUAUCUGUGUUCAUUUCUCGUAACUGCCUCUGUACUUGCUUGACAACUUUGUGAACGUACCAUAUGCAGUAUCUCUAUGUUUACAGAACCAAGACUGUAUUGUUUGUCGCAAUGACUCCAGCAAUGCUAUAAUUGGGUAGUUCUUGGCAGACUUUAUGAUUGCAUUAAACGACUCUACUAUAUUUGAGGUUAUUGUGGAAUACCUAUUUGUGGGCAUGUGAUAUUGUGACCAUUUCUUAGGUCCAACGUCAUCCUACAAAAUAAAGACAUGACGAUGCAUAUAAUAUUUUUUCACAGUAGGGAAAAUGUUUGGAUACCAAUAUAGAUUGCAGAUAAUAUGUAUUUCAUAUGCCAAGUAAUCUGUUAUGUUCUCAUUAAUUGCAGCAAGCUGUUGCAUGUGAUAUUCGUAUUCCGACAAUGUGUAAGCUCGAACGGCUGCAUUGAACAACUGCGCUAUGUUGUGACUUGAUUUUUCGUAACGUGUUUUAAGAUUCUGUAGGAGAUGAUAUGAACAAAUCCCAUGAUAUGUUCCUGGAUAGACUUUUUCAAUGGCAUUUUUAAUAUUGUUGUGAUGAUCUGAAACAAAACAUAGCCUUUCUCUACUUCCGUAAGCUCGCUUCAAUUCUUGUAGAAACCCUAUCCAAGAACUAUCAUUCUCAUUAUCCCCAUUUCGAAAGCAAGAAUAAAUAUGUUGUUGUUUGCAUCUUGGGUACAAGCUGUGAAUAGGGUCCUACCAUAAUGUCCAUUCAGAUAUGUCCCGUCUACCACAACAACAGGCCUACAAUGUUCCCAUCCACGGAUUACUGUGACUAUCAAACUCUAUUCUUGUGACCAUCCCUUGAUUUGUUUGAUGCAGCAUAGUAAAGAAUCUCUGUAUCUUGCCAAAUGAUUUCGUUGGAUCAUCCCUAAUCAUUCUUAAAGUCUCCUCGCGAGAUCUCCAAGCCUUCACAUAGUUCAAAGACGCUCCAUAAGUAUGCAACAUAUCAUUUUGUAUAUCAUUUAGAGUGUAUAUAGUGCGCGAUGAUAUGUAUUUGUAUUUAAUACAGAAGGACACAAUCGAUUUUGUUACUUACCUGUGAUACCCCAGAACAAUAUUCGAUGCACAUGUGUGUCCGUCUACAAUAUGUCUUAUUUUAAAUAUCUCUAUUUUUCCUAGCUUCGAUGAUCUACAGAUCCAGUUAUACUCGUCACGUGAACACUUUAUAAGGUAGUAUUUCUUGUCGGAUCGAACAACAUAUUCAAACAUAUUAUGGAUUGCUUAAAAGGACAAGCUCAGAUUCAAAUCCUCCUUGUUACGGAGAACCCGUCCUUUCUGGACAUCCCUACCAUCUGCGAUCGAUACAACUGUGACCUCAUGUUCGAAACUGUCACAUGCUAGAUGUUAUAUUGCUCCACAUAUAUCUAAUGACAUUUCAAGCAACGAAAACUCAUGUUCAUUAUACUAUACACCACUUGGUACCGUGAAUUGAUGUUUCCCCAUUUCUGCUUCUGUGGCCUCAAUGCUAAUGGGAUAUUUGGAAGCGCCACGAUCCAAAUCUUUCAACGCCAUAUAUGACAACAUGUUACCGUCACUUUUGAUUAUGAUCUUAGGUAGGUCACUCUGCAACACAUAUUUCAUUGUCACUGCCACAUUGGUGGGAUCCAAUCCAAAUUUCGUCAUGACAGUAUCUACGAGCUUUGCAUACUCGCAAUUACGAUCAACCAAAACCAAUGAAACUUGCGAUCCAUUCAAUAAACAGAUGUGGAUGUACACCAUUUAUGUGAAGUCAAAUUCACCAAUUUUAGUUAAAAUUCUUAAUUCACGUCAAAAUAAAUGCUAAAUCACUCAAUUGCAAACGAGAUGGAAAAAAUAAGCUUUGAUUUGCAUGUAUGCCAUGUUUAAUGCCUGUUAUCGUGUCUAUUGUACGUCAUAGAUUUUUUGGAUACCUUUUCACAAUAAUUGUUGCAUACAUUACAACAAUAUGUUUGUCCUUAGUUGCAGAUGUAUGCUGUCACACCACAUAUCAUAGAGUUUUCACUUACAUCACAUUAAACUAUCUACGUUAUGUAUUUCUCAUGCGAUAUCAUGAUAGGUCAUUAUUUUUUAUCAGAUAAAUGCAUGGGAGGUCACAACUCCAUAUCGAGACACGUGACAAACAUAGAUCGAAAUAAUUUAUAUGCAUUUUCAGAUCAGUUCACGAACUAAAUCGUACCACCUUCGAAGUCACAGCCUUUUACGUGAAUGCGAUUUUUAGGACAGCAUGGCGUAUACAGGCUUCUCGAUUACAUAUAAUGUUUACGGUAUAACAGAAGGGUGGACAGUGUUUCAUUACAUUAAAUUUGUACCUUCAUACUGGAAAUCCUGAUAUUUUAACACAUGACCACCAUACUGCAUAGGCAGAAAUCGUUAAUGUAAAGGUAGAAAUCGUUAAUGUAAAGAUGACAAAUGGGAUUUCAUUGAUUUAGCUUUACAUACCGAUCAACGUUUUUAUUCAGACUGAUAGAAUCAAUUUGAAGCUGUGACAGUUUUCGAAUAUGUUGUCGAUCUAGGCAAUAAUUCGACGGUUUCAAUGGUUUUCUAACCCAUUUCAGAAUCGCUCCAGCAGUUUACUUGAGUUCGGAUUGCUCCUGCUACUGAAGGCAACCUGUGGAGUUCCAACUGCUACCGUCGUGGUUUGAGAGAUAGAAAAUAAUUUAGACAUUGUGUCAAUUAUCGUAGAGAUGGAAUAGAAAUAUACAUUUAUGCUUUAUGUGAUCUUUAAGUGUUCACAAAUUCAUUAAUACAUUUUUAUAUGUUUACAUCCAUCAUAGAAAUAAAGGUGGGUCACAUAUAAAUAUGGGUUUAAUUCUACUUGAGAGAGAUUGUUAAACAAAUUAGAAAUAUUGGUCUUCAUAAUUGAGCCGUGUUGUCAAAUUUAUAAAUUUAGAUUUAUAUAUUUUUCAUCAUUAUAUUUUUCUAAAAUUUGCAUUUAAUUUAAGUAUUGGAUUUAGUUUAAUCAAUUUAGGUCUUGCAUUUAUAAGUAUAUUAUUAUUUAAUUUAGUUAGAAAAAAAUUACAACUUUCAAUUGUUUCGAUUAAAGCUAAGUUAAUUUGAACUUGAAAUAAAUUGAUUUCUGUGGGAACUAUACUUGGACUCAAAAAAAUUCAUUUUACUAUUUGUUAAUGAACCGUACACUUGCGAAAUUUUAAAUCAAAAUAAUAUUUUCGUGCAUCGAUGAAUAAUGUGGUUAUCCUAUUUCCAUUUGUUAAUUUCAUACUGUCUCUUGCUCUCUUUUGGUUUCUGUUAUUCAAGUUAGGAGUAAAACAAAGUAAUGUCUGUUUGGUAGAUUUUGGAGUUGCAUUAGACAAAACCAUCGCGUUGUAACAAUUGGAAGGUAAAAAAGUAAUGGGGGGGUAUCAUGACUAUUUCUUGGGUAAUGAUGUUGCUUGAAGCUCUUAAUGAUUAUGGAUGUUGGUGUAGAUGUUUUUAUUUUUGCAACCUCUUUACUAUGUAUGUUAUUGGAAAGCUGCAUUUGAAAUUUUCUUUACACCUAUUUGUAGGAAAACCCAAAGUAUGAAAAGUUCAAAGACAAUGAUAACAACAAAAUUUACCACAAUUACAGCAAACUAUUUAGUAAUAGUUAUGGUUCCACGAAUUAUGCUUUAACUUCGACUAAAUUAUCGUAGCACGAUUUUAAUUUUCGCUUGGACAGCGAUACGAAUGGUCCAAAUGACAAGUUGCUCAUCAACGUUGAGAUAGUAGAUUCAAGUGCGGGGCCUACAAAGGGCAGAGAAAACUUGUUUGGCGAGAAGCGUGAAGAAAAGAAAGCGAAUGGAAAGGGAAAGAAGAAGAAGUUUGAUGCAAAAGCAGAGAAGUUCUAGAGUUUGUAGAUAACUCAGCAUCUACAUUAAGGAAAUUCGCCUUGGUCAUUCGGUCUAGAGACAAGGGUGGAAUGAUGAUUCUCGAGUGCUUCAAUGACUUGCUUUUGAAUGGCCUCGUCGAAGUUGGUGGUCAGCUACUUUUGUUUGUUCUAUGGUUCUUUUGGGACUCUGACAAUCAAAUUGAUUACAGUGCCGCUCAAACAACGGAACUUAGAAUGGUCAAAAGAAUGCCCCACGUGCCUAUACUUGAGCAAAAAUAGGUAACUUCUCAUGUAUCACAUACUUUCAAAAAUAGCAAUUAUCUUCAAAUUCAUCUAGACCUUGUCAAGUAGUUUGAGCUCUAGGCUUAACUCUACAUAAAUCAUAGCCUCACAAAGUCUAUAGAGAUUAAAGAUGGACUUAUCAAUCUUUAUGGGUAACCUAAUAGGUUUGGAUAAAGCAAGCAAAAAGCUUUUAACACAUAAGUGCAAAGGCAGUAACGAAAAAAAAAUCUACAAUGGAGUAUAUAUACAACCUUAAUUAUAAUGUUUUAGAUGGAAUGCGUAUCUUAAAAUUUGUCAAAGUUGAAUAUACACCUAGGUCAGAAAACAUAGCAGUUUGAUGUUCCUUGCGUGAAGUGAGCAGCAAGACUAGUGCUCAAAUGCCAAACUUGUGGGCAACAAGCGAUAGACAUCUUGUUCUAAGCACUCGAAUAGGAGAUGAGCACUUAACAAGAAAAAAUGUGGCGACUUCUUCUCCUUAGUCCAUCUUUAAACCUCUUCAAAGCCACUUCAACCAAACAACCAAUAUUCAAUGGAAUAUGGGUCACAAUUCGACAAAUCUCUACAUUGAUACAGAUUUCUAUACAAGGAAUUACUGUUCACUCAUUAACAAACAUUUCCCUACCUCUUCCACACUAGCCCCUAAAGACCAAUUCAACAAAAAAAUAUCAAUCAAGUCCAAGAAAUACUCACACUUGGCCACAUUGAAUGCCUUUGUCAAUAUGUCAGCUAAAUUCUCCUUGGUAUCAACUUUGCUCACUACAAUAUUACCACGAGUAAUCACAUCACACAAAAAUGACACCUCACAUAAAUUUACUUUGUCCUCUCAUGAAAUAUCAGAUCAUUUGUUAGAAAAUUAACACUAUAACCAUCACAAAAUAAAUAAAUAAAUAUAAUUGUAGAUAUCUACUAGUCUUUACUAAUUUUACCCAACAAUCUCCUCAUCUGCAUAACCUCCUGACGAGCCUGUGUAAUAGCCAUAUACUCUGCCUGUGUAGUAGAUAAGGCUACCACAUUUUGUAAAGUAGCCUUCCAAGUAACAGCAGAACCACCAUUGGUAAACACGUACCCUCUAUGAGAUCUCCUACAAAAUAUGAAUUAACAUACCUAAUAACUCCAUAUGUAUUUUUUUCCAAAAUGAAAACAAGCAUUAAUAAAGCUACACUGGUAUCUGAAAAUCUACUGCAUUGAUUUCUAAUCUUCAUGUACAGGAUUUUCCAUGUAAGAUAUUAACUUUACUAAAUGCCUGUGCUAAAUCUGGGUGUAUACAAAGCAUAACAUACAUAAGCGAUCCAACUGCACUUGAAUAAAAAAUAUGUGUCAUGCAAUCGAUAUCCUCACUGAUUAUGGGCACAAAACAAAUGACAGUUUAGAGUGGGUAGCAAAAGGGAUACUGACAUUCUCUGCAUUCAACAUAUAAAACCUUUAGAGUGUUCUCUUAAGGUACAAUUUCUGGCUCAAGUAUAAUCUAGCAUCGUUUCUUCUCUCGAGAUCUCCAUUCAAAGUAUAUUCUCCAAUGCACCCAAGUCUUUCAUAUCUAUUUUUUUUUAUUGAGUUAAACUUUUACUUCAUUACCUCUACUUUAUUCUGGAUAGCUAUCAACAUAUCAUCAACAUAAAGUAGUAGAUAUAUAAAAAAUCCAUCAUCACACUUCCUAAAGUAUACAUCACUAUCAUAACUACUUCUUUUAAUGUUAUAAAUAUUCAUGAAUGAGUUAAACCUUUUAUAUCAUUGCCUCAGUGACUGAUUCAGAUCAUAAAAGGACUUCUUUAAUGAACAUACAUAGUCUUCAUUUCUUGUGACAAAAAAUCCCACUGGCUAUUCUAUAUAGAUGUCUUCCUCAAGUUCUCUAUGUAAGAGUAUUAUUUUCACAUCCUAUUUUUCAAGCUUCAAAUCAUUAUUGGUCAAAAUACCAAGUUAAUCUUUAAUUCAGCUAUACUUUACUAUUGGGAAAAAUAUAUCUAUGAAGUCUACACCUAGAAUCUCUAAAACCCUUAGCCAAUAAUCUUGCCUUGUACCUGGUGUUUAAGAAUUCUGAUGCACAUUCCACACUCCUUUCAAAUGCCAGUUUACAACAAACAACUUUCUUUUCCUUUGAUAAUUUCACUAAGUCCCAUUUGCCAUUUUUAUGAAGAGAUUCCAACUCUUCUUGCAUAGUAAAAAUUCCCCUGCCAUAAUCAUUGCAACUCACUACUUCAGUGUAUGUAAUAGGCUCUUCACUAGAAUCAAUAUUUUUAGCCACAAUCAAUGCUACCAGUUAGCUUUCCCAUACUUUUGUUGAGGUCUAAUCACCUUCUAGGUCUAUCUUUAACAAAAGAAUACUGCAAUGGUGGUUGCAAAAAAGUACUCUCCUUCACUUUUGAAUUAGACUAAGAUGAAAACUCUCAUUUAGAAACUAAACUAACUUCAACUCUGCCUACGUAAUUUCUUUUUACUAAUUUGUAUUACCAGAAUCUCUAAGAGAUAAACUGAACCAUUGCAUUUUAACUUAACAUAACGUCUCUACUAAUCACAACCUUAUAUGUUUCUGAACACUAGAGAUUAUAUCCUUUAACACUAGAUUUAUAACUAAGAAAAACAUACUGUCUAGAUUUGCCCCCAACUUUUCAUUAUUCACAUGAGCAUAAGUAAGGCAACUAAAUAUUUUUGAAUCUGAGUUACUAAGGGGAGACAUAGACCAUACAUCGUCUGUGUCAUUUUCCCAAUAAUAAUUGAGGGUGAGGGGUUGGUAAUAAAUCAAGUUGUAGAAGCAGCUUUCAACCAAGAUUGUCAGGUCCUUAGAUCUUUAUCCGAGAUAUUUAGGUCAAAAAUUGUAGCUAUAGAGGAGAGUAAGGACUAGAUGCUAUUAAGGUUGAAGAGUUGGUUACAUCUCUACAGACCUAUGUACUAACAUUAGCUAAACUUACAAAAGAUAAGUUUUGGCCUUGAACAUUCUUAGGGAUAACAUUAAUGAGGAUUCUGAUUCAGACUCACCCAAUAAUGAUAUAGCUUGUUUUGCUAAAAAAUUUUGGAAAAUGUUUACAAAGAAGAUAAAGCCUCAAGAGAGACAGAGAGGUGAUCCCAGUGAGUCUAGAAAGAGAUCUCAAUAUGUGAGAUGUCAUAAGUGUCAAGGUUUUGACCAUUAUAUGAGUGAGAGCCCUAACAUUAAGAGAAAUAAGGAUAAAGCUAUGAAUGUUACACUCACUCAUGAUGAGUCUAAAUCUGAUAUUCAAAGUAAGAGGUUCACUUAGGAUGAGAAUGGAAAAUAAAUGGCCUUCACUGUUAAGAGUAGGAGUAAAUCUUAUAAUGAGAGUGAGAAGGUUGAGGAUGCAGAUAGUGGUAAGCAAUCCUAGGAAGAUUAUAAAGAUUAGGAAGACAUAAAUGAGUUUAUGAUAUAUUAUAUAAAAAGAGCCUAAGGAUAUUGACUACCAAUAAAGCCUUAUGUAUGAAGGUCAAAGAUCUCGAGCUAGAGAAUGAAAAACUAAUAGCUGACCUUUAGGAAUCUACCUUAUCUCUAAGUAAGUUGAACUCUGUGAAUGAAUUCUUAGAUACUCAAUGUAAGAAUCUUAUUAGUGAUCUUGAAGAGUCCUCUGGGAGACUUAAUGAGUUGAGCAUUGUGAAUGAGUCUUUAGAAAACAUGGUUAAGACAUUUUAUGAGUGAUCUUGAUGAUUCCAACACCCAACUCCUUGCAUUCUCUAGUGGUUUAUUGAAGCUUGAUAGCAUCUUAGGAAUGAGUAAGCCUACUGGUAAUAAGGGAAGUUUAGGAUAUAAGGAGAAUGAUCACAAUACUUCUAGUACUUCCAAGACCAUUGUUGUCCCUAUCAUUAACCAACCUAAGUACAUUCCUAACCCUGAACCUAAGAAAAAGUAAAUCGUAAGACAAAGGCCUACUAGAUAGCGUAGGACCUACCAACCUAGGAAUAAAAAUCAAUGACCACAUAACCUUGGUCCUAGAUUUAUCCAUACUUCAAUUGUGUUGAGUUAGAACAUAUAAGGCCUAGGUGUCAUAAAUUCCUGAGCAGAAAUAGAAUAAGAACUUCAAUAGAUAUAAAAAAAAGAGGAUUUUAAUGGCUGAAUUGACUUCUUCACUAAUCAGGUGAGUCAAUUAACUGAGCUAAUGACACAGUUAACUAGGAUUAAUUCUUCAACUAGGCAAGUUUAGGCAAAGAGGAGUGAUCCAAAAAUUCUUAAAUGGAUCACCCUGCUCUUAAAGGUAAGAGAGUUUAUAUACCUAACUGAUUAGGUAUUUCUGGUGCAUGCUUGUGUGUAUUCAUUGCAAUUCAUUCACUGUUACAUACAUCUCAUUUUUGUAUUUGCUUUAUAGGUAGUAAGUCCAUGUAUGUGCAUCUUCAUCAGGUUUGUAUUGGCACAAGCAUUUUUAUUUUUUUAUUUUUGUAUUGCAUGUUGAAUAUUUUUAAUUUUUUAGUUUGUGUGGUUAGAGCAUUUAUUUAAAAAAGGGUAAAGUUUUUAAAACUACAACAUGAUAUAUGAUAUACUUGAAUUUGUGCAAUGUGACCAACUAUGAGUUUAAUUGAUGUGUUGUAGCAUACUUUUCAUUAUUUUCUUAGAUUUUGAUACAGUAAUUGGUCUAGGUUUUUCAUGCACCAUCUAUACUGCACACACUAUGAUAUUGCGAGUGGGACUUGACCGCGUGUAUGAGAUUUGAUAUGGUAGUUUCAUGUUGGUAUGAUGACUUUGAACAUGAAUUGACCUUAUUUUAUUAGACCUAAGAUCAAGUGUAUUCCCUUGAAAGAAAAAGAUCAGUAUCUUAUGCCCUUUUUCGGAGUUUAUUCAACUUGAACAAUUAAAGCUGAGGGGUUUCUCAUAACAUAGUGCCUAUAAUCAACUGACUUGGGUUAAUAUAUAUAUAUAUAUAUAGGUCAUAAUAUGCUAUUAUUUGUUUAACUUUCAUAAGUAGAGGGAUGAGCUUAUUGACAGAGAUGUUUAGAAUGUCUUUUCUCACAAAAUUAAGAUUUGGAGUCCUAUUUACAAAGUAUUAGUAACACUCUACAUACAUGGGGUGACUUAUACAAUUUACUCCAUUUUAACUUGAAUUGAGUAUGUGGAAAAAUGUAUUGAUCAUUAAUUAUGCUUGUGAAUUCUAUCAACUGCAUCUUUGAGUUAUUAUAUAUUAAUGUUCAUGUGUAUUUGAUAUAAUUCCCUUAAUCAUUUGACAAAAAAAGGGCGAAAAAGAUUCGAUGGUAAUUUUGAGUUAAGAGUUAGAUGCAUUUUAGGGAGAGCUUGCAGUAGGGGGGGGGGGGGGGGGGGGGGGGGGAAGAUGAUAGUAUCUUUUAUUCAUGGCAUUCCAUAUCAUAAUGCAUAGCUUCUUUGAAUUUUGAUGUUUGUUGAUGUUAAUGUUUCAAUUGGUGUUUUGAUUAACACUAGUAUUACUUCUCAAUCUAGCCAGCAUAUUUAUGAUUGUAGGUUUCAAUUGUUAUAUUUCCUUUAUCAUAUGCUUUUACACUUGGAAUGUGAAUUGUUGAUUUCAGGAAACAGGUUAAUAAGGAAUGUAAGAGAUAAACAUUCAGUUUUGCUUUGGAUAGAUUAGUUUUUAUUUUUUUUCCUUGACUUGUAUUGUAUUUUGUCACAGAAUGCCGAAGAGGAGAUUGUUAGGAUUUAUGUUGUAUUGGCAAUUUUGUAGACAAAAUAAAAUCUUAGUUAAAUUGCAUUAGGAGUUUACUGAGUUGUGAUCAAAGUCAAUCAAAGUCGAAAUAGGAGUUAUUGAAUCAUAAUUAAAGUCAAAAGGGUUGAGAUUAGUAGUAUGGUACUUAAAGGAGUCCAAGAUAUCAAAGAAGAUCACGUGUGAUCAGGGAAAUACAAUUAGAAGUCUAAAGAGUUUUAAAGAGCAGCAAAAGUUAUGUUUUAAAUUUUCACUCAUAAUUUGUAACACAUUUUUCACAUAGAAAACAUUAUAAUUUGAACAAGGCUAUUUAAUAGAAUUGUAGCCCUUUGAGUUAGCUUUUCGUCGUAUUUUGAAUCGACUCAAACAGACGUUGGAAGAGAAAGUUAUUAUAAAAAUACUGACAACUGCUCAGCAGUUGCUCACUUGUCUAGAGUUCGAGCAACAGUGUUACAUGUGUAGCCUUAUUUCGCAUUUUUCAAGUGUUUUAUCUGGCCCAUACUACUUGAUUAUCUCUUACUAUAAAUACCCAAGCCCUUAUAUAUUUUGUGUGUGGUUGUUCAUUUAUUACUUUUUCAUAAUAUCACUCCAAGAUCCAAGAAUAAGAUUACUGAAGAUUGAGGGAGGUCACACCAAAAGAACGGAAGAGUACAAAAUAAGGUGUUCUUGAUGAUGUACAGGAGAUAGAAGAUUUCAGAAAAUCAUAAACAGAUGUGAGUGAAGCACAAUAUCAAAAGAUCGGGAGAUUAUUAGCUUGGUCCUGAAGUUUUUACUCAGUUAAGUUUUCUCCGUCGACAUAUUUUGUGUUGUUUAUCACUUUCAUACCAUUCAUUGUGGUAUUCAAACUAUAGAAUAAUCUGAUAUGAUUAAUUAACUAUCUAGAAACAAUUAAAAGUGACUUGCUUCUUUUAAUUGUAUAAUUCCUCACAUUGUGUCAAAACAAAUUAGCUAAAUGUAAACUUUCAAGCCGUAUAAGAGCUUUUCACUCACGGAAAUGAUAUUUAUACUCAUUUUACAAUAUUAUUUGUUAGUGCUCUAGUACACUUGUUUGACUUGACAUAGCAUUGUCCAAUAUAUUUUAAAAGCAGUAAAUAUAAUAGCGGGAAAAUUAUUUUUCCCUCAUUUCAACACACACAAAUAGAUGAAAAUUAUUAUAAAGGAUGAGAAGUACAAAUUAAUAACGGUUUAAAGAAAAGAACUCGACGAAAAAAAGAUAGGAAAUAAGUUCUACAAUGAGUAAUGAUCGAAUAAUUUAAAUGAAAUCAAAGUGUGAUGUAACAAGUAAAAAUACAAUGUAAAUAUAAUUAUCUGGUUUAGUAUCGUUUGAAAAUUUUUGGAUUCAAUUUUGUUAUGGAGCCAUGGCAAAAAAUAUUAUUUAGUUGUUGGAGGUUGUUAAGUUAUUUACAAUCAAAUUGAAAGUUUCCAGUAUUGCUUAUUUGGCAAUAAAUUUUUUUCUCACCUGUUCCACGUAGCUAUGACUAUGCUUCUACGUUAUGAAAGUAUUAAAAUUAAAAGGAAAAAAAUGUUAACAUCAUUGUUCUACCAAGUACCAGCCACAUGCUUUCUAGCAACUCACACCACCAAGCCCUGCUAGUCUACUACUAAAAAUUCCAAAUACAUACCACUUUUCGACAAGAUCAUGUGCCUUAGCCUUACAUAUUACGAAUAGAAACACAAAUUGCUCGUAAUGAAGAAUAUAACAAAAUAAAAAAAAAAUAAGAUGAAGAAGCUAAAAUGAGAGGAUAUUCUAGGAAAUGUUGACAUCCCAAAUGCUGAUUUUCGAGGAACAAUAAAUCUCUAAAAACUAAAAAUACAUUUACAGAAAUAAUUGACCCCCCUUUCUUCAUUCUUUAUUUGAAUUUAAAUAUGAAAAUAUUGUACCAAUUAUCUUCUAAAAUCAAUAACCAUUUCAAAAAUAAGAAAAUAUAAAAUUAAAACCUGAAAAUAAAGAAUUAAAAUAAAUUACAAAUAUAGAAAUGUAUUAUCUUCUUUCUCCGAGAGUUUUGCAAUUCACCACAAUUGCAAGAAAAUAGAAAAUCUAUUUGAUCAAAACUGAUAAAAGACCCAGAGCCAAAAAUAAAAAAGUAAAAAUAAAAAAAAACAAAAAAAAAAACAAAAAGAAAAACAAAAUAAACAAAAUAAAAUAAAAUAAAAUAUAUGCAAUUAGAAGUUCAAUCGUUCAUCCAAGCAUUUUAUUUGAUAUCACUUGAUAAAAAAAAAAAAAAAUUAAAUAAAUUGUUAUCCAACACUUUGUUAGGUAUAUCAUACGAAGUUAGAUAAUCUUUAAUUUCCUGGAUUAAUAUGUUAUUGAAAGUUCAAUUGGUUUUUGCUUACGGACCAUGCAUGGACUUUCACUUUAUAUAUGAAAAAGUCAUCACCUAAUAAUACUAUUUUUCCCCAUAAAUAAUUUGAAAAAAAUAUGCACUAAGCAUAAUUCGAGAAGCAUGGCUAAUACCAAAUUCGGCAUCCUUACUAUCUUUUUAAUCUGUGGUAGUUAAGCAUUCGUCUGUAGGGGUAGACGCAGACAUUUUGAAUUAGGGAGCACAAUUAAACCUUAUAUAAAUUGAAUAUUUUGUUAUUGAUUUUUGAAUAAUUCAUACUUGACUCGAGAAAACGCAGAACUAAGUUUAAAAACAUAGUCCUUCAUUAAUAUUUUAUUCAUCAUUUUAACCCAUUUGAAUUCGAACAGUCUUUUUAUUGAUAUUUUGCUCAUCACAAGAAAAUGCAUGUCUACGUUUAAAGAAUUUAUAGUGUAUUUAAUGCAAACAAUCAAUUCAAGUAAUAAAAAGAAAAAAAACAUAUAAUCAAUAUUCAUUACUAAUAUUCAAUCAAAUAAACACAGCUAGUUAAACACAAGUCAAAUUGGACAUAAUUAUUUAAGUCUCAUUCUAUAUACACAAUUUGAUAGGAGAAAAUGUAAAUUUAAGUUCAGAAUAUGAUUAGGAAGUGAAGUAAAUGUCAUAAUUUGUAGAGAAAUUAUAAACAAAUUUUAAAAAAAUUAGAAGAGUUAAGGUUUUGAUAGUGUAAGGGAAAGUGAAAAUGUUCAAAUUUAUGGUGAUUUUAUCCCUAUUUGAUGGAGAUUAAAGUCAAAUUAAUAGUAAGUUUUGAUAGAAGUUGAAACUUUUUGAGUCCCAUGAAAUAUAUUAUUAAAAUUAAUUGUUAAUUUUGAUUUAAAUUAAAAUUUAGAUUUUAAGUCAUAAAAAUCAUGGCUUCAUUAUAUAUAUUCUCAAAAGUUGGUUGAUCACGUGAUCCCCAUAAAACCCCCCUUCUGUCUGCCCUUGGUCAUCUCUUACCCAUUGAUAAAUCUUGUGUGUUUUGAUCUUCAUGUAAAGAGAAGCGUGGAAGGUAAUAAAUAAGUUACUCGUACAUGUAACAUAUUAAGGUUUUGCAUAAAUUUUUAUAUACUAGGAUCAUGAAUUUAUUAAGAUCUUCUCGUAAAGAGAAGCGUGGAACAUAUUUUAUAUGCAAUAUUGUAUAAAACUAACUAGUAUAAUCAACAAGCUAUCAACUUCUUUUUCUUUUUAACUAUCAAGUUCUUCCACUUAUAAGUUACUUUUUUCUUCUAAAAUCAAGAACCAUUUCAAAUUGCCCGUAAUGAAGAAUACAAAAAAUUUUAACACUUGUUUCCAUAGCUAUGACUAUGCUUCUACGUUAUAAAAGUAUUAAAGGAAAAAGUGUUAACAUCAUUGUUCUACCAUCCACACGCUUUCUAGCCAUUUACACCACCAAGCUCUGCUACUCCAUUACUAAAAAUUCCAAAUGCAUAGCACUUUUCGUCAAGAUCAUACGCCUUAGCCUUCUUAAAUAUUACGAACAGAAACACAAAUUGCUCAUAAUGAAGAAUACAACAAAUAACAUAAGAAUAGCUAAAAUGAUUUUCGAGGAAAUCUUGACCUCCCAAAUAUUGAUUUUCGAGGAACAAUAAACCUCUAAAGCUGGAUAUCAAAAAAAAAAAAAAAAACAUUUACAGAAAUAAUUGAUCACCCUUACUUCAUUUUUUAUUUGAAUUUAAAUAUGAAAAUAUUGUACCCAUUAUCUUCUAAAAUUAGAACCAUUUCAAAAAUAAGAACAUAUAAAAUUAAAACCUGAAAAUGAAGAAAUAAAAUAAAUUACAAAUAUAGAAAUGUACAAUCUUCUUCAUCCAAGAGUUUUGCAAUUCACCAUAUUUGCAAGAAAAUAGAAAACCUAUUUGACUAAAACUGAUAGUAAAAGGACCUAGGGCCAAAAAAAAAAAAAAAAAAAAAAAACUACAAUUAGAAGUUCAAUCGUUCAUCCAUGUAUUUUACUUGAUAUCACUUGAACAAAAAAAUUUAAAUAAAUCAUUUUUUGACAAUUCGUUAAAUAUAUCAUUAAAAAAAUGUUAAAAGGUCGAUCAUUCAACCAUGCAUUUUACUUAAUAUCACUUGAUAAAAAAAAAUUAAAUAAAUCGUUUUCCGACACUUUGUUAGGUAUAUCACAUGAACUUAGAUAAUCUUUAAUUUUCUGGAUUAAUAUGUUUUUGUAAGUUCAAUUGGUUUUUGCUUACGGACCAUGCAUGGACUUUCUCUUUAUAUAUGAAAAAGUCAUCACCUAAUAAUACUAUUUUUCACUCUCCUUUUAAUCUGUGGUAUAUUCUAAUUGCUUCUCUUUUUUGGCAUUCAAGAACUAUGCCAACUUGUACAAUUUGCAGAUCGAAAUAUGAUUUCUAUGACGGUCAAGAGACGAAUGAUUUAUGCACUUUUUUUAGAAACCUAUAUCCGCUGAAUUUUGACACUUCUUCAAUGGCCAAGUAUUUUACCAUUGUGAAACAUUUUUUCGAAAAUAUAGUAAAUUAGUAAUACGGAUUUUAUAAUAGUCAUCCGUCACCCAAUGAUAAAUCUUGUGUGUUUUGAUCUUCAUGUACAGAGAAAUGUAGAAGGUAAUAAAUAAAUUACUAGUGCAUAUAACAUACUAAGGUUUUGUAUAAAUUUUUACAUACUAAGAUCAUGAAUUUUUUAAGAUCUUCUUGUAAAGAGAAGGGUGAAACAUAUUUUGCACGCAAUAUUGAAUAAAACUAAUUAGUAUAAUCAACAAUAUAUCAACUUCUUCUUCUUUUUAAUUAUCAAGGUCUUCCACUCAUGAGUGACUCUUUUCUUCUAUCCUUUGUGGAUUCUAAAGAGAUAUUGCACCACUAUAAGUAAUGAUAUUAAGUUGAAGCGUGACAUAUACAUGAUUUCUCAUAGCUGCAAUUGAAUUUUGCCUAAAUUUUCUUUGCUCAUGUUUUAUACCCAAUAUUGAGCAAGACCAUGCUAAACAAUAGAUAGGUUUUUCUUUCUAAUGAGUGACAUUGCACUGCUAUGACGGGGCCCUUUUUUUUUUCUUUUUUUUUUUUGGGAAGCAAUGUGCAAUAUGCUAAAGCCCAAAAGUAAGUUUGUCCAAAAAAUUGCCUCAAAAUUGGGUACAUGACUUGCCCAAAAUCAGGUUCAAGAAGGCUUCAUCCAGGCUGCACAAACUGUUGCAAAAUCAAGAAGGGUUGCAAACUUUAUCGACCUAAAGGAAGCCUUAUUUGUACCGGAAAGUAAUUUCGAUAUGAGAUAAAUCUUAAAUAAACUAUCAAAUGUUUGUACUACACACACACAAAAUAAAUAAAUGACUCUGCUAUGUUUCUGUGAAAGGAAAUACAAGGUUCAGGUUUAAUUAUAUUGUUGGAUAUUUCUAUGAAAUUAUCUUUUACAUAAUUACUUCUCUAAAUUUAUUGGGUGAGAUUUAGAUGUUGUAUACUCUCUUAUAUUGAUCUACAAUAGCGAAGAGUUGUUGUGGAAACAGUAUAUACCAUAUAAUAAAUGGGGACACUAGAAAAAUUGAGUCGGAAUAAGAGAUUAUGCACCUAGAUCUCUUGAAGAUAAAAUUUGCCCCUAGCACAUAGAGGUAUGGAGAAUAUACAUUUUCGAAAAGAGAAUAAACAUCCAAAAAUGGCAAAAUCCCAAAAUUAUACCAAAAUAAAAUAUUUAGUAAAAGAAGUAAGUUGCCAAAAAUUUGGCUCAAUUCGAGUUUUCUAACAUAUGGAAAAAAGGAAACAAAAUAUUACCAUAAAUAGUAAAAAAUAACUUAAAAUUGAAUUUUGGAAAGGAAAACAGUGGAUUUUGGACUCGAAAUUGACGUCUCAGUGGCCAUGACGUGCGUGCCGAAGAGAGCUUUCCAAAUUGAGGUCAUAAUAGCGAUUUCAAUAAUCGUAGCCAAAGUUAUGGCCAAAUUACCAAAGACGCGUCAAAUUCUCCCAAUUUAAGGAAAUAAUGGUGAUUCACUUUCCAUCUUUGCGCCGAUCCGCCAUCUCAUGGUAUCCCAGCGCCAUCAUCGUGCUAUCUGACAAAUCAGCAUCACUCGACUCGGAUCCUCCUGCAUCAAUUAUUUAUUUAUUUUAAAGUUGAAAAGUGAUAAAAAAAAGUUAUUGUAAGAUGCAAAACAGUAAUUAAUAUAAAAAACUGUUUUACUUGAUAUCUUAUUUUAUUCGUCAAACAAUGUUGGGAAAUAAAAUGUUGGGGAAAAAAAAUCAAAGUAAUAUAUAUUUUUCUAUAUUUUUUUAAUACGUAAAUAACUCAGUAAAUUUAUUUUUGUUCAUUGAAACACUGGAGCUCGAGGAGAAUGAGAAUAAUAAAUUGUAUAUAUCUCACACAAAAGAAGACCAUACUAUGAAGAAAAAUUAUUUAAAUAAUACAUUACGAUUUCCAAUAAAUUAAAUUUAAUAUGAAGAUAUAAUCUUUUAAUUUUUCAUUUUGAUUGAAGACUUAUUUUUAAUUAAUAAUCCGUGGUAAUUGAAUGAUUCCAUACUUCUCGUUUGAAUGAUUGAUCACCGUUUAUAUGAAUAUAUAACUUAUUUUAUUUUUGGUAGUUUCGAAAUAGAUCUAGCUUAUUGUGGUAAUCAGAAUAAGAUCAUCUAGCCAUUAGGGAUUAUUAUUUAUGCCUUAUGCAAUUUAUAUUGAUUAUCUUUUGACUGAAUGCAUUUUUUGUUACUCAAAUUCUAGAUACGGAUAUCUCGGGAGAGAUUGUUAAAUGUUAUAGGAUUAUUGUUUAUAAAUGUGCACAUAUCAGGUUAAAAGAGAGCAGUCGAAGAUUAUAACGAAUGUUAAUGGUGAAGUCGGACUCCUAGUAAGUUUUCUCAUGCAAAACUCUUUCAUCUUGAUCUUCAUUUUUAUUUUGAUAGUUGAUUGUAGAGUAAUUAAUCGAUUCAUAUUAUAUUUCAUCUAAACCCUUGUUACAUUUGUUUAUUCGUUUUUUAGCACAAAUUGAUAAAUUUGAACUAAAGUCUAAAUUCUCAUGGAAACGAGAAUUUUACUCAUUUUGUAAUAUUAUUUGUUGGUGAUCCAGUACGCUUGCAUGAUUUGACAUAGCUUUGUCCAUUAUGUUUCAAAAGCAGUAAAUAUAAAAGUGGAAAAAUUAUUUUUCCCUCAUUUCAAAGCACACAAAUAGAAGAAAAUUUAUUAUAAAGGAUUAGACAUACUAACUAAUAGAGGGUUAAAGAAAAGAACUCGACGAAAUAUAAUGCAAUUAAAGUGUGAUGUAACAAGUAAAAAUAUAGUGUAAAAAUAUUUCUCUUGUAUAGAAUCGUUCGAAAAUUUUUGGAUUUAAUUUUUUUCCAUGGCGCCAUGAUAAAAAAAUAUUAUUGAGUUGUUAAGAGGUUGUUAAGCUAUUCACAAUCAAAUUGAAAGUUUCAAAUAUUGCUUAUUUGGCAAUAAAAAAUUUUAACACUUGUUCCACAUAGCAAUGGCAAUGCUUUAUAAAAGUAUUUUAAGGAAAAAGUGUUAACAUCAUUGUUCUACCAAGUACCAUCCACACGCUUUAGCAAUUCACAUCACUAAACAAAAUUGUAGAAAAGAGAAUAAACAUCCAAAACAGUAACUAAAAAAAUAACAAAAUGAUUUCCAAUUUUUUUUUUUUUUUUUUUUUUAAAGUUGCAAAAUGAUAAGAAGCUGAUAACCGUAACUAUAAUGGAUAAAAAAAUUAUUGUAAGAUGCAAAAUAGUUAUUAAUAUCAAAAACUGUUUUACUUGAUAUCUUAUUUUAUUCGUCAAACAAAGUUCAUUAAUCAAAUUAAAAAUUUCCAUUUGUCUAUUCACAAUGUCGGGAAAAAAACUCAAAGUCAUAUAGAUUUUUCUAUAUUUUUCAUUAAGUAAAUAAAUUACUAAUUAUUUUUGUUCAUUGAGAAACUGGAGGCUCAAGGAGAUGGAGAUAAUAAAUUGCAUAUAUCUCACACAAAAGAAGACCAUAUUAUGAAGAAAAAUUAUUUAAAUAAUACAUUACGUCUUCUAAUCAAUUAAAUUUAAUAAUAAUUUAUAUAAUAGUUAAAACAAACAUGAUGUAAAAAUAAGUAAUAUAUAGUGUGAUCAUUUUUAACAAGGGUGCGUUCAGCUGUUUAUGAUGACAAACUUGUUGACUUAUCUAUUCCUUUUCAAUGAUAAUGGUUUCUUUUGUUACACAAAGUAGAAGGUAAUAUGUAGAGUAACAAGACAAGAUGUUAAAGUGUAAAAACACCACAAACGCAUGGUAUUUAUAAAGUAGUGUGACAAAAUAAUUUGACGAGCCGUUUAUAUGUAUAUGUGAUCAUUUGCAGCUACCAUGGAGAAUUGCAAAGCUAAUUCCUAAAAGGGUUGGUGAGAGAAAAGGAAAUAAAUGCUACAAUUUGUUGACCAAUGUAAAAAUAAUAAUAAAAAUAAAGUCCACGAACUCCAUUGUAGAAAGGACAAGUAUUGCGACUUUUGUAUAAUCAGUAAAUCUAUCACUUGUUGAACAAGUUAUAUGGAGGAUCAUAGAAUGAGUCCUAAGUUCAAAUUCCCACUAUUAUAUCAUAAAUAAAUAAACAAAAUAUUAUAUUCCUUAAACCAAUCUAGUAUAAUUAAAUCCGCUAUAUCAAUACGCAAUAGUAAUUUAAUUUUUUGUCGUAAUAGUUUGAGAAAAUAUUGCUUCUAUAAUUGAUUUUUUGAGGCCAUAUUGUGACUUGUUUAACUAAAGCAUCUCCACCGCUAAUAUGGCUUGCGCUAAAAUGGUUUUCACAUAAACUAAAAUCGAUAAUUUCUACAAAAGUACACCUCUAAUACAAAAUUUCAAGAACUAUGUCUAGCUGACGUAGAAGUAUAUAUGGUCAAGAUGACAAUCUAGGUGCAUACGGUCUUUUAGAUAGAGCGAGUAUCCACAAUUUAAUAUUUCUCUCUUUAUUUCUCUCUCCUUUUCCCUAUUUUUCUGUCAUCAUUGUUUUUCUCUCUCUCCUAUGAUAUAUACUUUAGUGAUGAAAUUUGAUUAUAGAAAAAAUUCAUUAAAGAUGAAAUUUGAACGAGGUCAUCUAUUCAUUAGAUCUUAAUGUCACAUAUAUGAAAGCCAUCUUAUUUAGAUCCAUGAAUAUAUUAGAGAACCUCAAAGAUUCCUUACUGUUUGCAAAAAUUACCGAAUUAGCGUUUUCAAUCUAUUGCAAUCUUCUGGAGGCAAAUAUAAGUGGACUGUAAAUGCUUUAAGGAUUACAUUUUUCAUGUAAAAUUUGCAUCGGAAAAUUUUGAAUUAGAUUUCUUUAUUUUAAUCUUUUGGAGGAAGGGCUUUACAUCUCCUAUUCAUAAUAAGAUUUCAAUGAAUAUACAGUUUUGUGCAAGGCUGAGCAUCCCAUCCCUGUUUUGGUUAGAAACCCUGAAACUGUAAAUGGAUUUUAUCUUUAAAAAAAUAAAAAAUAAAAUAAAAUAAAAUAAAAAUUCAAUCUCUCUGUCCAAACUCUCGACAUAUUCAACUUGAAUAAAAAUGUUUACAUAUUUCUUAAUAUUGGCUUGCAAGUUAACGUGCAAUUAAAAGAUUGUUCGUUAAUCCAUGUAUUUAAUAAGGCGUGAGGCACGGUAAGAUGGCAAGUGCGCAGCUUCAAGUGUCAGCUAAAUUUUUUAUAGAAUUCUUUCUCGAGCAUUUCUUUUGUUCUUUGUUUCUUGUCUGUUGUAGUUACAUAACUGUAGCUUCAUUGAAGGGUGUUGGAAAAUUGUAAUAAUUAGUUGGUUUGACCAACUUUUGACCAAUUAUUUAAAUAGGUCCUGUUAGUUGGAUAAAUGAUUUAUUUGGACAAGUACAUUCUACUCCAUAAGUAGAAUUGAUAUAUGUACUUAUUUCUCAAAACUAAUUAAGGGUGAAUGAGAAAUUAAAGCCAAAAGAUGACCACAUGAAGUUGAAAUAAAUUGGAAAUAAAAAAUUGGCGGGAAAUUGGAAAGUGCCAAUCUCACAUAGGAAACUAGAAGAAUAGAAACCACUUUAUAUAACUCAAGUUAAGAACUUGGGUUUGGGCCACAAGGGGUAUCACAAGUCUUUAGAGAAGAGAGGACCUACAUGUUAGUAGGUUCAGCUAAAACCCAUAUGCUAAAAUAAUAUUUUAUUAUAUUAUUUAUUUUUUUCUUCUUCGAAUUUUCUGUGCAAGACACAUAGAUUCUUCUAGAAACUGGCGAUUGGUGAUAGUUUAACUGUCUGUCCAAAUGGAUUAUGUCUAUUCCGAGACACAACCUUUCGGCUGUUGUGUCUUUUGGGCACAACCUUUCAACUUCUAUAAAUAGACCCUAGAUCCCCGAUUUUUAUUCACUCCAAAAAUUUGUUUUACUUUCCUUCUCCUGCAAUAUAGUCUUUAUGUCCUACAAUUUUCAUAUAUUUGCAUUUUAGUUCCAAAUAUUAUUUUCGUGCAUUUUAGUCCUCCUAUUAUCGAGAGAUCAAAUAUUAGUAGGUUCAUCGGGUCUUGUAAUUUGGAGUGCUACUAUUACAAGUUGAGGUCGUUGUAUAUUGGGAUACGAGUGCCAGGAGACGAACAGCACCAGUGCGGGGCAUUUUCGUCUUAAGGAGAAAUAGUCGAACUCUUGACUCGAUCAUUAUUCAUUCUAGUUUAUUCCGCAAAUUUGUGUAAGUCGAAAUUCUGCUAUUUAUUUUUGUAAAUUACCGCACGACAUUCUCGAAGAUUUUCAACAAUCUUAAGACGAAAUUUUUUUUAUUUACAUGCUAAUUUAUAUUCUGAAAUUUUGUUAGACUAUGGCAAGUAACAAUACAUCCGUCGUACCCCCAAACAAUGCUCACGGGGAGGAACCAGAAAAAUUCACAUGAGUGGAUUUUAAAAGAUGGCAAUAGAAAAUGUUGUUUUAUCUCACAACUCUGAAUUUAGAAAAAUUCUUGAGUGAAGAUGCUCCAACUGUUGAGGAGGAAGAAACAUAUUCUAAAAAACGAGCAGCAUUUGAUGCAUGGAGUCAUAGUAACUUCUUGUGCAGAAACUAUAUCCUCAAUUGUCUUGACAACACACUAUACGGUGUAUACAGUUCAGUCAAGACAGCCAAGUUACUGUGGGAAUCAUUGGAAAAGAAGUACAAAAUGGAAGAUGCCGGAUUAAAGAAAUUCGUUGUGGGCAAAUUCCUAGAUUUCAAGAUGAUAGAUUCUAAAACAGUGAUGAAUCAAGUCCAAGAGCUGCAAAUCAUAUUGCUUGAUAUACAUGCAGAAGGUAUGAAGCUCAGUGAGUCAUUUUAGGUCGCCGCUAUUAUCAAGAAUUACCUCCAAUGUGGAAAGAUUUCAAGAACUACCUGAAACAUAAACAUAAGGAAAUAAGACUUGAAGAUCUGAUUGUAAGAUAAAGAAUUGAAGAAGAUAAUCAAAAUUCUGAGAAGAAGUCUAGAAAGCUACAUAUGAAAUUUGGUGGAGCCAAAUACUAGCAAGAAAAGAAAACACUUAGGCAAUGGCAAGCAAAAAAAUAAGGAGGCUAGGUGGUGGAUUUAAACCUAUCAGUAAAGGCUCCCAACCUCGUGAGGUGAAUAUGGCUACUAGGUUAGGCGGUAGGUUAGACAGGGUGACCUCACGCUCUACUAGGACCGAACGUAAAGAAAACUGACUCCCAAAAACUUCCCGAGCAAUCAAAGAGAUAAACUUAGAUCGAUUAUAAAAUGUCACCCACUAACAGGCUGAGUAGCAGUCCUAGCCUUCUUAGGUGGCAUCUGACACAAAUAACAGUGGCAGCUGAUCAAGGACAAAAGCUAAGCAGAAUGGAUGGAACACAAAAUGAAGCAAAAUCAUGUCAAGCACGCAAAUCGAUGCAAAGCAGUGUAAUGCAUGCAAAAACCAUGCAAAACGAAGUAACAUAGUAUAAGGCAUGCAAUACCAUGCAAAAGAUGCAAAAGCACACAAAAUAAUGCAACAUAGUGUAAUACACGCAAUACUAUGCAAACCAUGUAAUAAUUUUGCAAAAUGAUACAAAAUAGAGGAAGGCAUGCAAAACUAUGCAACUAAGCGCGAUGACAUGAACUAAGUGACGUGAGUGUAAGGAAUAAGUGACAUGACGCGCUGUCAAGACGCAGGUGGCAAGAUGUCACGACAUGGCCUACAUGACUUGGACACACCAUGUCAAGGGUGGAAUGGUGAUUAAGACCCAAGAAGAUCUAUAGUUGACUGGGACUAAGACUAUGAUAGUAGUGUACGUGGUGUGUAGUGAAGAGAACAUUCAUCAAACAAGUGGUGAGCAUGAGAAAAUGGUGAAAAAUCUACACUUUACAAUAGUUCCAAUAUAUCCACCAAGCGCCAAUGUGUAUUCUAACAUUCCCACAUCAAGUCUAUGUAAAGAGAAUGUAUCCCAAUGUAGCUAAAAAAAAAAAAUGAAAACGAAAAAGAAAUGCAAAAGGAUAAUGCCAAUCACAUUGUAAUGCCAAAGAGAAAAUCCUCCCAAUGGUCACUGAACUUUGUAGAAAAUCUCCUAGGAGGUCAUCGAACUUCAAUAUGUCCCUAAAUAGUCACUGAGCUUUGUCGAAAUCUCCCAAGAGGUCAUCGAACUUCAAAACAUCCCUAAAUGGUCACUGAAAUUUGUUGAAGUCCCCCUAAGAGGUCACUCAAUAUUGCAAAUUGGGAUCCCAUACAUAACUAGUUUAGUUAUCUCCCAGGGACUUUUUACAAAGUUCAGUGACCAUUCAGGGACAUUUUAAAGACCUCUUAAGAGACUUCGACAAAGUUCAGUGACUAUUUAGAGAAGUAUUGAAGGUCGGUGACCUGCUAGGGAAUUUUCUGCAAAGUUCAGUGACCAUUGGGAGAUUUCCUCUAAUGCCAAAUGAGCAAGCAAGGUAGACGCCAUGGUGGAAUUCUAAUCACAAUAGCUUAAAUGGAUGAUGUUGGAUGCACAAAAUGACAAGAAUUGUGAAAGAAUCUAAAAAUCCCCAAAAGAAACAAAAAAUUUGGUGAGUUAGGGUUGCCAAUUAUACCUUCGAAGAUAGUGUGAAUGUGAAGAUGAAAUGGCGCUAAUUUUGCACACAAAUGAUGAAAUCUAGACCAAAUCACUGAUGUGAGGGAAAAAACGAGAGAGCAAGGAAGAAGACAAGGAGAAAAUGAAGAAAGAAAUCGCGCUUCGCUUGAGCGAGAAGCGAGGGAGGAGAUUGUAUUAUUAUCACUCGAUCGAAAAUCAAGCGAGAAUCAAGCAAGACUCAAAUCACACAAAUAGCACCAAUGCACUAAAAUUUAGAAAAUUGGCACCAAUUUGAAAAUUUUGAUUUUUAGGACAACAUACCUUUUUUUUGGUAAACAAAAUACUACAAACAUGGCAUGCACUACAUGUAUGUCCACCCAAAUUAGUAGUUAAUCACACAUAUGACAUGCUCAAUGAUUAGAAGCACAUCCCCACACACAUAGAAUAAGUUCAGAUGGAGUAAAUUAUAUAUGUGACCCACAUGUAAAAAAUGCGACUAAUUUUAAGUGUCUCGAACCUAAAACCAUCUAAAGCUUUAGUAAACAGAUUGGCAAGUUGAUUUUCUAUAGAAAUAUGUUCUAAGGAUACCAUAUUAGACUCAACAAGCCCUCGAAUGAAGUGAUGAUGGAUGUCAAUAUGUUUGGUAUAAGAAUACUGAACAGGAUUUCUGGAGAUGUUGAUAGCGCUAGUGUUAUCACAGAACACCGUUAUGGUACCUUGAUUUAUCCCAUAAUCACUCAGCAUUUGUUUCAUCCAAAGCAAUUGAGUGCAACAACUACCGACUGUAAUGUAUUCUGCCUUGAAUGUAGACAGAGAGACUGAGUUUUGUUUCUUACUCAUCCAUGACACAAGAUUAGAACCAACAUGGAAACAUCUACCCGAGUUACUCUUUCUAUCAUCGUCAUUUCCAGCCCAAUCAACAUCAGAAUAGUCGUGCGAGAUCAAUAUUAGACUCUCUAGAAUACAAGAUCCCAUGAUUUACGCUCUCAUUAAUAUACCUAAUGAUACACCUUACUGCACUCAAAUGGAAUUUCUUAGGAGCUGCCUAAAAUCUCUUAUACACUCCAACACUGAAUGCUAUGUCAGGUCCACUGGCUGUAAGGCAGAGUAAGCUACCUAUCAUAUUCCUAUACAAUAUCUGAUCAACAUUCCUACCUGUAGAAUCAUGACCUAACUUAACACUCAUGCUCAUGGGUGUCUUCGUAUGUUUUUGACUAUCCAAUCUGCUGACCACUGAACUCCGAUCUCAUCAGAAAUGAUUGCAGGCCCCACCUCAUGCAGAUGUGAGUUCGGCUAAGAUCCUCAGAUUGAAUUUGUUGUCAUAAUCUCAGGAACAUCAUGAUUAUCCCUUGUCACAUCAACCUCUUAAAUUAACACAUUCAUCAGGAAUGACAUAAUCGUUGCCCAUGGCCACCAAUCCCUAGCUCGAAAUCUCCAAGUUGCCUGAGGGUCAUCAUUACCUGAGGAAAACAUUGACACGUGGCCACCAGCCUCAUCGACCAAUCAUAGGAGAGUUUGAUUUCCAAGUUUCGAGCUCGAUACUAUAACUGAUUUGAGGUAAUUUCAGCUGAAAAUAUGUAUAAAUAGUAAAGGAAUUGUUACCAUAAAGACAAGUGAAUUCAUAUGCAAACCCAUUACAUGAUUACAUUUUCUCAAUUGAUUUGGGACCCAUUUAGCUAUAAAUCGUCAUUUUUCUUAAAGUUGGCUCAAGAUCAGUCAUACAAAUUUUGAAGUCAAUAGUUUGGCACUAGAAGGAGGGCCCCAAUUGUAAAAAAUAGCCUUAUUUCCCCACAAAAUUUGAGAGCCAUGAGCCAUAGUUUUAGUUCUAGAAAUCCAUCUCAUACCUACCCUCAUGAAACUAUUACUCCAUCGAGUUCUCCAAGAUGACAAGACCCACAGAUGACCGCCAUGAGGGAAGCCCUGGAAAAAUUAACAGAUGCAGUGGGAUUAUUGGAACGGAUUCAAGCCCAAUUGUCUCCACCAGAUACCAAAGUGGAAUCCCCUGCAAGGACAAGGGCAAGACGUCUCUCCACUAGGAGGAUCCUCCACUUUUCAAGAGGAGAAUCCUUAAGAAGCCGAGUUGAUGAAGUUAGGAGUAAGGAUCCCACGGCAAGGAGGACUGGUAGUGUGUUUGACAGGUUGAGGACCCAACACUCACUGACCCCCACGCGAGGAUAAGCUGAAUCCAACCUUAAACAUCCUCUGGAAUAGGCAGAACCCAAACGGAGCACAGUGAAAAGACGCAUCGCUAACCUAGAGGCAAAAAAUAGAGGAGGCACUGAAGACUACCUCACCAAGCGACAUUCUCCCUAUACAGAGGACGUCCUUAUGGAUCCUUUACCUGAAAAAUUGAAGAUUCCCCGGAUGACCGCAUAUGAAGGAUACGGGGAUCCUCUCUGCCACCUUGACAAAUACACCUCAUGAACGGAACUGCAGGGGGCAAGCGAUGCCACCAUGUGCUGAACUUUUCCACUGACCCUAGUAGACAAAGCACAGAGAUGGUUGAGGAGACUGCAUCAGAAGUUGGUAAAAAAUUGGAAAACCUGGCCAUAACAUUCUUAGCCUAGUUUAUGGGCUCUAAAGCUAGAACCACGCCCAAGAAGCGGCUAGUGAGUAUUAAGUAGAGAAAAAGUGAAUCCUUUAAAAUCUAUAUGAGUAGAUUCAAUAAACAAUCCAUGGAAGUGGAAAAAAUAUCUGAUGAUGCCCUACUCAUGGCCGUACUGGCUAGAUUGAGGCCCAGAACAGGAUUCUGGUGGUCGGUACACGAGGAGGGCCCAAGAACUUAUCACAAGUUCUUGAACCAAGCUGAGAAAUACAUAAGUUCUGAAGAAGCAACCUCUGAUCAAGAGGAAACCAGAUGUGAUCCCGACCUCAAUAAUACGACGAAAGAGAAAAAGUUUAAUAACCGCCCCCAGCUCAAAAGGAAGAAGGAUAGAAGAGAAAAAGAUUGUCCUAAGGCUUAGCCGUACAGGUUUCGAGAGUACCACCACUCAAAGCUUCCUUCGAAGAGGUAUUCAUGCAAACUAGUAAGAAAGAGGCAUUUCGAAGGCCAGUGGUCCCAAAGAACAGGCAGAUAGGACACCAAGAAGGACGAUACUGUCGAUAUCACAAGAUGGCAGGUCAUGACACUGACAACUGUUGAGAAUUGAAGAAGGAAAUUGAGUCCUUAAUUCAUAGAGGUCGAUUACAAGAAUUUGUUGCCAAAACAAAAGAAGUAGAUUGACCUCAAUCGUAAUCGCUUUUGUAGUAGGGGCCACCCGCACAAGCUUAGCAAGCGGUUCCUAAUCAUAAUCCACCCCCACAUGCCGAAAUUAAAAUGAUGGUCGGAGAAAACCAGUAUGUUGAAAGAUCUAGAAGGGCGAGACAAAGACAAGCCCGAAAUGCACGGAUCAUGUCAAACUUUGGGGAGAAAACCCCGUAGAUCGGUAUAGACCCUGAAUGGUUCUGGUUCACCGAGGAAGAUUCCUAAGGAAUCUUUCAAGAUCAAAGCGAUGUCCUAGUGAUCACCAUACCAGUUGCCAGGGUAAAAGUUCAUAGGACAUUGGUAGAUAAUGGAAGUUCGGUUAACAUACUGUAUUCACGAACUUUGAGUCAGUUGGAAAUCUAUCUUGAACCAUACUCAAGGAAACUACAGGGAUUCUAAGAAAUACUAUCGAAGCCCCGAGGUCAGAUCGUCCUUGUUGUAGAACUGGGCAAAGCUCCUCACCAAAGAAGGAUCCUGGUAGAUUUCAUAGUAAAAUUAUUUUUGUUCAUUGAAACACUGGAGCUCGAGGAGAAUGAGAAUAAUAAAUUGUAUACAUCUCACACAAAAGAAGACCAUAUUAUGAAGAAAAAUUAUUUAAAUAAUAAUUACGGUUUCCAAUAAAUUAAAUUUAAUAACAAUAUAUAUAAUAGAAGACAUAAUCUUUUAAUUUUUCAUUUUGAUUGAAGACAUAUUCUUUUAAUUAAUAAUCCGCGGUAAUUGAAUGAUUCCGUACUUCUUCUCGUUUGAAUGAUUGAUCACCGUUUAUAUGAAUAUAUAACUUAUUUUAUUUUUAGUAGGUUCGAAAUAGGUCUAGCUUAUUGUGGUAAUCAGCAUAAGAUCAUCUAGCCAUUAGGCAUAUUUAUUUAUGCCUUAUGCAAUUUAUAUUGAUAAUCUUUUGACUGAAUGCAUUUUUUGUUACUCAAAUUCUAGAUACGAAUAUCUCGGGAGAGAUUGUUAAAUGUUAUAGGAUUAUUGUUUAUAAAUGUGCACAUAUCAGGUUAAAAGAGAGAAGUUGAAGAUUAUAAUGAAUGUUAAUGGUGAAGUCGGACUCCUAGUAAGUUUUCUCAUGCAAAACUCUUUCAUCUUGAUCUUCAUUUUUAUUUUGAUAGUUGAUUGUAGAGUAAUUAAUCGAUUCAUAUUAUAUUUCAUCUAAACCCUUGUUGCAUUUGUUUAUUCGUUUUUUAGCACUAAUUGAUAAAUUUGAACUAAAGUCUAAAUUCUCAUGGAAAUGAUAAUUAUUCUCAUUUUGUAAUAUUAUUUGUUGGUGAUCCCGUACGCUUGCAUGAUUUGACAUAGCUUUGUUCAUUAUGUUUCAAAAGCAGUAAAUAUAAAAGUGGAAAAAUUAUUUUUCCCUCACUAACUAGUAGAGGGUUAAAGAAAAGAACUCGACAAAAUAUAAUGCAAUUAAAGUGUGAUGUAACAAGUAAAAAUAUUUCUCUUGUAUAGAAUCGUUUGAAAAUUUUUGGAUUUAAUUUUUUUCCAUGGCGCCAUGAUAAAAAAUAUUAUUGAGUUGUUAAGAAGUUGUUAAGCUAUUCACAAUCAAAUUGAAAGUUUCAAAUAUUGCUUAUUUGGCAUUAAAAUUUUUUAACACUUGUUCCACAUAGCCAUGACUAUACUUCUACGUUAUAAAAGUAUUAAAAGGAAAAAGUGUUAACAUCAUUGUUCUACCAAGUACCAUCCACAGGCUUUAGCAAUUCACACCACCAAACAAAUUUGUAGAAAAGAGAAUAAACAUCCAAAACAGUAACUAAAAAAUUACAAAAUGAUUUCCUUUUUUUUUUUUUAAGUUGCAAAAUGAUAAGAAGCUAAUAACCGUAACUAUAAUGGAUAAAAAAAAAUAUUGUAAGAUGCAAAAUAGUUAUUAAUAUCAAAAACUGUUUUACUUGAUAUCUUAUUUUUUUUCGUCAAACAAAAUUCAUUAAUCAAAUUAAAAAUUUCCAUUUGUCUAUUCACAAUGUCGGGAAACAAAUCAAAGUCAUAUAGAUUUUUCUAUAUUUUUCAUUAAGUAAAUAAAUUACUAAAAUUAUUUUUGUUCAUUGAAAAGCUGGAGGCUCAAGGAGAUGGAGAUAAUUAAUUAAUUGUAUAUAUCUCACACAAAAGAAGACCAUAUUAUGAAGAAAAUUUAUUUAAAUAAUAUAUUACGUCUUCUAAUAAAUUAAAUUUAAUAAUAAUAUAUAUAAUAGUUAAAACAAACAUGGUGUAAAAAUAAGUAAUAUAUAGUGUGAUCAUUUUUAACAAGGGUGCGUUCAGCUGUUUAUGAUGACAAAUUUGUUGACUUAUCUAUUCCUUUUCAAUGAUAAUGGUUUCUUUUGUUACACAAAGUAGAAGGUAAUAUGUAGAGUAACAAGACACGAUGUUAAAGUGUACAUACACCACAAACGCGUGGUAUUUAUAAAGUAGCGUGACAAAAUAAUUUGACGAGCUGUUUCUAUGUAUAUGUGAUCAUUUGCAGCUUACCAUGAAGAAUUGCAAAGUUUAUUCCUUAAAGGGUUGGUGAGAGAAAAGGAAAUAAAUGCCACAAUUUGUUGACCAAUGUAAAAAUAAUAAUAAAAAUAAAGUCCACAAACUCCAUUAUAGAAAGGAUAAGUAUUGCGACUUUUGUACAAUCAGUAAAUCUAUCACCUGUUGAACAAGUUAUAUGGAGGAUCCUAGAAUGAGUCCUAAGUUCAAAUUCCCACUAUUAUAUCAUAAAUAAAUAAACAAAAUAUUAUAUUCCUUUAACCAAUCUAGUAUAAUUAAAUCCGCAAUAUCAAUACGCAAUAGUAAUUUAAUUUUUUCUUGUAAUAGUUCGAGAAAAUAUUGCUUCUAUAAUUGAUAUUUUGAGGCCAUAUUGUGACUUGAUUAACUAAAGCAUCUCCACUGCUAAUAUGGCUUGCGCUAAAAUGGUUGUCACAUAAACUAAAAUCGAUAAUUUCUACAAAAGUACACCUCUAAUACAAAAUAUCAAGAACUAUGUCUAGCUGAUGUAGAAGUAGAUAUGAUCAAGAUGACAAUCUAGGUGCAUACGGUCUUUUAGAUAGAGCUAGUCACUACAAUUUAAUAUUUCUCUCUUUAUUUCUCUCUCCUUUUCCCUAUUUUUCUGACAUCAUUUUUUUUCUCUCUCCUAUGAUAUAUACUUUAGUGAUGAAAUUUGAUUAUAGAAAAAAUUCAUUAAAGAUGAAAUUUGAACGAGGUCAUAUAUUCAUUAGAUCUUAAUGUCACAUAUAUGAAAGCCAUCCUAUUUAGAUCUCACCCUAAUGACAAUCCACGAAUAUAUUAGAGAACCUCUAAGAUUCCUUACUGUUUGCAAAAAUUACUGAAUUAGCGUUUUCAAUCUAUUGCAAUCUUCUGGAGGCAAAUAUAAGUGGACUGUAAAUGCUUUAAGGAUUACAUUUUUCACGUAAAAUUAGCAUCGGAAAAUUUUGAAUUAGAUUUCUUUAUUUUAAUCUUUUGGAGGAAGGGCUUUACAUCUCCUAUUCAUAAUAAGAUUUCAAUGAACAUACAGUGUUGUGCAAGUCUGAGCAUCCCAUCCUUGUUUUGGUUAGAAACCCUGAACCUGUAAAUGGAUUUUAUGUUUAGAAAAAAAAUAAAAUAUAUAUAUAUAUUUUUUUUUCAAUCUCUCUGUCCAAACUCACGACAUAUUCAACUUGAAUAAAAAAGUUUACAUAUUUCUUAAUUUUGGCUUGCAAGUUAAUAUGCAAUUAAAAGAUUGUUCGUUAAUCCAUGUAUUUAAUAAGGCGUGAGGCACUAUAAGAUGGAUGUUAGACAAUUUGUUGUCAAACGAUCUUUCGGGCAAUGAUGUAACCUCGAUUUUAUUUAUUAUCAAUUGACCUUGACCUUAUGAUUGAAUUAUAGUCGACACUAUCAUCGAGAUAACCCAACCCACAUCUCUAUGGACCGUUAGAACCAACCUAUUUUAAUAGUGUUGCUCAUGGUUCGUCCCAUUUACUUGGAGGGCCUAUAGUAUUCAUUUGGAGCCCAUUACCUCAUGUUGAGCCUUGUUUGGACCACUUAGUUUACCUAACCUAACUUACCAUUUUUGGUCACUCAUUUGACUUAUAACCUAUGGCUCCUCUACGCCUCCAUCAUUAAGAAUACUCCAUCUCUUUCUGUGACUUGGAUUCUCGGCCUCUUUCCUUCAUAUAACUUAUGCGGUUUCUCGUGCUAUACAUUUUUCUUCAUCUUGGCCGACUCUUUGUGUGUAUAUAUAUAGCAACCGGAGGUGGGAAAGAAGGAGGUGAAGUUAGGUGUUGUCUCAAUCGAGGUUGUGUCGACAUAUGGUGGAAACUGAGCCCGGUAUCGCCUUGGUUAUUACUGGAAUUUCACCCUACAACUAGUAUCAGAGCGUGGGUCAUCUUCUCCGGCAAGAAAUUGACCAAGAAGGGCGGCGGGUUCACGAUUUCUUCAAAGGGACCGAACCUGCAUCUGCUAUUUCCGGACAAACGGCUGACCUGUAGAAGAAACUGAGGGCAAAUUCAGACUCAGCAAGUCGAGGCACCUCCGGUGGUGAGGCGCGUAGCUACGGCGACCGACGACGGCGCGUGGAGGACCUCCUGCAUGGUUUUUUUGUGCCAUUUCAAUUAUUUUAAUUUCCUAAACGUACUAAUGUGUUUAGUUUAGUGUUUCAGGUUGUGCAGAAAAUUUUGGACGAUUUUGCCCCUGAUUAAAUCUACAUUUGUUGCUGAACGAACUGUUAUAUUUGUUGAAUCUUUAGGGCGAAUAGUAGUGGCCCUAAAGUAGCAAAUUCGCAUCUCUCCAGGCUAUGGACUCAGAUAGGUCCGCUAUAGUAAAUUGGCUGAAAUCUUUAUAUUUUUGCACUAACAGAUAAUCGUGUGGAGUGAUCAUUAAGUUUGGGGAUUGCCAUUGCUUGGCAGUCAUUGCUUAGGCUAGAAUUAGGGUUACGUGCUCUUGAUUAUUUGAUUGAGUAUUUAUCUUUUAGUUAAAUCAAUAUUUGAGCCUCAGUGACAUAACUAUCGUGAAACUAGUUAUCUGUUAGACGUAUCUUUUAUUGCAUUGUUACUUCCGCUGCUCACUUAUUCCGUUAGAACUACCGUGACCUUACUCAUUCGAACAUUCCCUUGAUCUAAGACCACGAGUCUUACGAAACCUUGGGAAUUUAGAACGGUGUAUGCAGUCUGUGACCCUAGGACUACUUUGUGUGGUUUGAUUGUGUGUUUUUGUGCUCUUUAACUACUGUGUAAAGAUGACAACUCACAACUUUGAUUUGGAAAUUUUUAAUGGAAAGGGUGAUUUUGCUAUAUGGCAACAAAAAAUGAAGGGUAUUUUAAUCCAAAAAAAAGUUUCAAAAGCCAAUGAAGCCAAUUUUUCAACUGAUUUUUCACAAGAACAAAGAGAAGAAGCCGAUGAGCUUGCUUAUACCUUAAUCAUUUUAUACUUGUCUAACAUCAUUUUAAGAAAUGUGGGUGAAUUGAAAAUCACUAAAGAACUUUGCAAAAAAUAAAAAGACUUGUAUUUGCUCAAGUCUACACCGAAUAAACUUUACGUGCUCGAACGUUUUUUUAGUUUUAAAAUGGAUCUUUCAAAGGAUCUCGAUGACAAUUUAGACAUGUUUAACAAAUUGGUGUAAGAUAUAGUUAAUUGUGAUCAGGGUGUCCGAAACUUAUAAGGCUAUAAUUUUGCUUAAUGCAAUUCCUGAUUCUUAUAAGAAAGUUAAGAAUGCCAUUAAGUAUGGUAGAGACACGUUGACAACUGAAAUUGUCAUAGAUUUCCUAAGAAGUAAAGAAAUGGAAAUUAGGGCUGAAAAACACGAUAAGAGGAACGGUGAGGUACAUAUGAUGCGAGGUAAAACUCAAUUUAGGCAAAAUAGUCAUGAUGGAUAUUAAACUAAUGGCGAGCCAAGUGGUAAUGGAUGGAAAAAGAAGAGCAAAGGUAGGUCUAGAUCAAAAUCUAGGACUAAGGCAAGAAAAUAUUAUGGUUGUGGAAACAAGGGGCAUUUUAUAAAGGAUUGUCAUAAGGAGAAGGGUAAGCUAAAGAUUUAGGGGAGAGAUGAGGUCAAUGUGUUAGCAUUUACUUUCGAUAUAAAUGGUGGUGAGGUCUAUAUGAUUACAAGUCCCGUUGCAUAUACUGCUGAAUUAAAUCUACCUAUUAAUUCCCACAUGCAUGAGUAGAUACUUGACUCUGGCGCAUCUUUUCAUGUGACGUCUAAGAAGAAUUGGUUUUAUAAAUUGCACGAAUCUAUUGUUGGGCAUGUUGUGCUGUGUAAUAACUUUGCCUAUACUAUUGCUGGAAUUGGUGACAUAAACAUAAAAUUUGACACAGGUUUUGUGUACACGUUAAAGGAUGUUAGAUAUAUUCCUGAAUUGUCUAGGAAUCUGAUUUCAUUAGGGAAACUUGAAAAUGAUGACUUUACUAGUAAAAUUGGAAAUUCUAUGCUAAAAAUGAUCAAUGGUGCUUUAGUUUCCAUUAAGUAAAUUAAGAAAAACGAUAUAUAUUUUACCAGUGGGGAAGUGAUUAGAGGUUUGAACUCCUCUAUCUCCUCUGCCAAGAUUGAUCGCACUCACACAUGGCAUAAUAGACUUGCUCAUGUAGGCAUCAAGGGACUUAAGCUACUUGAUGAAAAAUGUGCUUUUGGUAAUGACUAUGUGUCAGAUUUGUCAUUUUGUGAUCAUUGUGUGCUUGGUAAGCAUCAUAAAACUUCUUUAUCCACGAGUGUUAAUAGAUCUAAAGGCAUGCUCGAAUAUGUGCACUCUGAUUUAUGGGGUCCUGCUAGUAAUCCUACAUCGGGUGGGAAUAGGUAUUUCCUGUCUAUUAUCAAUGAUUACACUAGGAAAGUGUGGGUCUAUCUAUUGAAAGAUAAAUCUGAGACUUUUAAUAGUUUUAAUGAUUGGAAGAGACAAGUGGAAAACCAAACUGACAAGAAAAUCAAAAUUUUUAAGGAUAGGUAACGGCCUAGAAUUCUGCAAUAAGGAAUUUGAUAGUAUGUGUAAAGAAAGCAGCAUAACUAGACAUAAGACCGUUCCUUACACUCCUCAACAAAAUGGGGCAGCAGAAAGGAUGAAUAGAACCACACUUGAUAAAGUACAUUGCAUGAUGAUAAGUUCUGGUGCUCCCAAGUCAUUUUGGGGUGAGGCUGUUAUGACUACUUGUUAUUUGAUUAACCUGACUCCUUCUACUACAUUGAAUGGUGACACUCCGCAUGAGAGAUGGUCGGGUAAAUUGAGUGACUACUCGAUGCUUAGAACUUUUGGCUGUACAGCUUUUUCUCAUCAAAGUGAGGGUAAGCUGGAACCUAGAGCUAGCUGGAACCUAGAACUAGGAAGUGUGUCUUUCUAGAAUACCCAGAGGGUGUUAAGGGUUAUAUGUUAUGAGAUAGAAGCCAAAAAGGGGUUAAGAUCAUCAUAAGUAGGGAUGUCACAUUUAACGAGAAUGAAAUGCCGUGUAUUAAAGGGGAAACUGAAACUGAUAGUGAAACUGAACCAGGUGAAGAGAGAGACCCGUUUAAGGUGGAGUUAGGAAAGCUCAGUACACCUGCCCCUAUUGCUCCUAAUGAGGUGGAGAUUCAAGUUCAGGAAUCUGAGGUGGAGAAUAGUAACGAAGUAGUAAUAGAAGAACCCUAUGAGGAAGAAAAUCCUUUAGCUAACUACAACUUAGUUAGGGAUAGAGAGAGGAGAUAAACGAGAGAACCUAGAAGGUUCAUUUUUGAAUAUGAAUUAGCUUUCGCUCAGGCUAGUUGUGAAGAACUAGCUGAUAAAGCGCCAAAAACCUUUGAAGAGGCAAUAGGCAGUGAUCAAUCUAAUGAAUGACUUAAGGCAAUGAAAGAAGAGAUGAAUUCUCUAGAAAAGAAUCACACUUGGGAGCUAGUACCUAGGCUUAAGAACAAAUCAAUUGUUGAUUGCAAAUGGGUUUUUGAGGUUAAGAAAGGUACUAGUAGCUCAGAACCCUUAAGGUUUAAAGCUAAGUUAGUAGCUAAAGGUUACACACAGAAGGAGGGCGUUGAUUAUAAUGAGACUUUCUCACCAGUUGUUAAGUACACCACUAUUAGGGUCAUACUCACAUUGGUUGCACACUUUGACUGGGAACUUGAACAACUUGAUGUAAAAACUAUUUUUUUUACAUGGUGAGCUUGAUGAACAAAUCUUCAUGAAUCAACCAAAAGGUUUUAAGGAUAAGUCAAAACCUGAUUAUGUGUGUUUUCUAAGAAGAUCUUUGUAUGGGUUAAAACAAUCUCCUAGAUAGUGGUACAAGAGGUUUCAUUCCUUUGUACUCGCUAUAGGGUUCCAAAGAAAUAAAUUUGAUCACUGUUUGUAUUUUCAACACAAUGAGACCGAUGAUAAUUAUCUAUUUUUGUUGCUCUAUGUGGACGACAUGCUUUUGAUUGGAUCAUCUUCUAAGUGGAUAAAUAGCAUAAAAGUAAAGCUAAGUGGUGAAUUUCACAUGAAAGUCCUAAGUAAGGCUAAGAGAAUUCUAGGCAUGGAAAUAGAAAGAGAUAGGUCAAAUUCCAUUUUGUUCUUGCAUCAGUCUCCAUACGUAUCCAAAGUAUUGAAGAAAUUUAAUAUGAGUGAUUGCAAACCUAUCACGCUGCCUCUUGCUAAUCUUUUUGUUUUAUCGAAGGAACAAUCUCCUUGCAAUGAUCAUGAAGUAGAAUAUAUGAGUAGAGUGCCUUACUCUAAUUUGAUUGGUUCUAUAAUGUAUUUGAUGGUUUGCACUAGAUCAGAUUUAGGUUUUGCUAUUAGUACUCUCAGUAGAUACAUGGCUAAUCCGGGCCAUGAACAUUGGGAAGUGCUAAAGUGGCUAUUAAAGUACUUGAAAGGUAUAAGUGACGUAAAUUUAAAGUUUAAUGCUAAUAAAGAAGGUAUAAAAUUAAAGGGUUUUGUAGAUGCUGAUUACGCGGGAGAUAGGGAUGGUAGGAAAUCCACUUCGUCUUACGUGUUUACCUUAUCUAAUUCAUGUGUUAGUUGAAAAUCACAGUUACAACAUAUUGUUGCACUAUCUACUAUAGAAUCAGAAUAUAUUGCUACCACUGAAGCUAUUAAAGAAGCUCUAUGGCUUAGAGGCCUACUUCAUGAACUAUAUGUUUUGAAUGAUUAUGUGAUAGUGUAUUCUGAUAGUCAGUCAUCUAUACAUCUGUGCAAGAACCCCGUUUUUCAAGAGCCCACUAAACACAUUGAUAUUAGACUCUACUUCAUUAGAGAUAUAGUAUCUCAAGAGGUGGUAAGACUUGAAAAGGUCCACACCCACUACAACCCUUCCAAUAUGGGGACGAAGAUAUUGCCAUUGACAAAGUUUAGAAGUUGCAAGGAACUUCUAAACAUUGGUACAGGUAAAUGAUGUCCAAUUUUAUUGAUUUUCUAUUAGAGGUGUCACUAAUAGGAGACAUUUUCUUUUGCAGGUCCUUUGAUACCAAGGUAGAGGUUGUUACACAAUUUGUUGUCAAACGACCUCCCGGGCAAUGAUGUAACCUCAGUUUUAUUUAUUAUCAAUUUCCAUUGGCCAUAUGAUUGAAUUAUAUGUCGACACUAUCAUCGGGACAACUCAACCCAUAUCUCUAUGGACCGUUAGAAGCAACCUAUUUUAAUAGUGUUGCUCAUGGUUCGUCCCAUUUACUUGGAGGGCUAUGGUAUUCAUUUGGAGCCCAUUACCUUAUGUUGAGCCUUGUUUUGACCACUUAGUUUACCUAACUAACUUACCAUUUUUGGUCACUCAUUUGGCUUAUAACCUAUGGCUCCUUUAUGCCUCCAUCAUGAAGAAUACUCCAUCUCUGACUUAGAUUCUCGGCCUCUUUCCUUCAUAUAACCUAUGUGGUUUCUCUUGUGCUAUACAUUGUUCUUCAUCUUGGCCAACUCUUUUUGAGUAUAUAUAUAGCAACCGGAGGUGGGAAAGAAGGAGGUGAAGUUAGGUGUUGUCUCAAUCGAGGUUGUGUCGACAUAUGGUGGAAACUGAGCCCAGUAUCGCCUUGGUUAUUGCUAAAAUUUCACCCUACAAUGGCAAGUGCGCAGCCUCCAGUGUCUGCUAAAUUUUUUAUAGAAUUCUUUCUGGAGCAUUUCUUUUGUUCUUUGUUCCUUGUCAGGACUAUGCUGCAGUUACAGAACUGUAGCUUCACAAAAGGGUACCAGAUUACUCACAAUAGGGGGGUUGAGAGAUUUUUUUGGCAUUUUUUAUUCAUGGCUGGGGCCCAUAUGCGUGACUAUCUGGUGCAAUUCUGUGUACAAAUUUUUUAUACAAGUGGCUUUUCCCUUCUUGUCAUAUCUCUUCAGCCACGAAUUGAACCUAAAAUAUGCAAAAACACGCACUCUCAAUAACUAUACGAUCAAGAUGAUAUUCAAAUUUUUUGAUGUUCGUGGCCCUAUAUAAGCGCUAAUUACACUUAUCACCAAACUCUCAAUAUAUUCCACUUAUUCCCAAGUUUUUGUUAAAUAUUCCUUAAUAACCGAAUGUGAGUCAAUUCAUAAUUAAAAGGGUGACUUUAAUCCAUGUAUUUUACUUAAUUGAUUUACUUUAUAAAAAAAAAAAAAGGGGUUCCUUUUCCUACACUUGGUUAGGUAUAUCACGUGAACUUUAAUAAUCUUUAAUGUUGUGAAUUAAUAUGUAUUUGUAAGUUUGAAUUGGUUUUUGCUUACGGACCAUGCGUGGACUUUCUAUUUACAUAUGAAAAAGUCAUCACCCAAUAAUACUGCUUUUACCCUAUAAAUAACUCAAAAUAAUCUGUACUAAGCAUAAUUCAGGAAGCAUGGCUAAUAGCAAAGUUAGCAUCCUUACCCUCCUCCUAAUCUGCGGUAUGGUUACCGAUCUGUGCACUUUUCGUAACUUAUAUUGGUUGAUUAUUGACACUUCUAUGAUGGUCAAGUAUUUUAUCAUUGUGAAACAAUAUUGCAAAAAUACUGUAAUAUAGAUCUUAUGAUAUUAGUUAAGCAGUCAUCUGCUGCCCAUUGGUAAAUAUUGUGUGUUUUGAUAAAGAGAAGCAUUGAAGAAGUUGCUUGUGCAUAUAAAGUAUUAAGGUUUUAGAUAAAUUUUUACAUGUAUGCAGUUGAAUUUAUUGAUCAUUUUCUUUCUGGGCAUUUUUUCCUGAAUUAUUAAGUUUUUCCACUGGUAAGUUAAUCUUUUCUUCAUAUGUUUGUGGAUUCUAAAGCAAUGUUGCAAUACUAUAAGUUAUGCCAUUAAGUUGUAGCAUGACAUAUACAUGAUUUUAUCUUAACUGCAUAUUGAAUUUUCUCGAUAUUUUCUUUGAUCAAGCUUUAUACGCAAUACUAGACAAGACUGAGCUAAACAAUAGGUUUGAUUUCAAUAUUAUGUUUUUCUUUCUAUGACAGCAUUGUUUUUCUUGGGAAGCAAAGUGCAAUAUGCUGAAGCCCAAAGGAAAAUUUGCCCACUAGUUUGCCUCAAAGUUGGCUACAUGACUUGCCCAAAAUCUGGUUCUAAGAAGCUUCAUCCAGGCUGCACAAACUGUUGCAAAGUAAAGAAGGGCUGCAAACUUUAUAGAUCUAAUGGAAGCCUAAUUUGUACUGGAAAGUAAUUGGACAUGCGAUAAAUCUUAAAUAAAUUGUCAUAUGUUUAUGCUAUAAACAGGCAAAAUAAUAAAUGAAUCUCUUAUAAUAAAUCCAAGAUUCAGGUUUAAUUGUAUUGAUGGACGUUGUUUCUAUGAAAUUAUCCUUUACAUAAUUACUUCUCUAAGUUUUUUGGGUGAGACUUAGUUGUUGUAUAAUCUUUUAUUCAUCUACUAGCCACCCACCACCCUCGACCUCCUGCAUAAUCAAAAAAUUGUUGUAAAAACAGAAAUUACACACAGCAUGAUGAGGGAGACUACAAAAAUUCAAACGAA